GCAACUGGUCUUAUUUUGGUCUCAUGUUGCCCUGGUGGACAAGCAUCAAAUGUUGCAACUUACAUAUCGAAGGGAAAUGUUGCGCUUUCAGUUCUUAUGACCACGUAAGCUUGAUGUUGCUUGUUAAAAGAAAGUAUAUUGAUUUGGACACUGCAUGCCUGCUGUCAGUUACUGUCACUAGCUUUUUAAGUUAUUGAGUUCAUCUGAUGUCAGCUCUCUUUGUAACACCAUUUCCACAAAAUUAGUGUGAACAAUGGUUGCACUCCUAAACAGUUUGCUGUUGUCUUAAUCAAAAUUUGGAUUUAUUUUGAUUUAAUUGAGCCUUCCAUGUUGAAACUUUUGAAGUACGGAAAUGUCAGGUUUAGCUAGCUUCUAUGGGAUUUUGUACUUUGUCUAGUAUCAUAGCAGUGCAUUUUUUUUUUUGGUAGAAUUUGAUGAGCAGACCAUUUAACUGUUGCAUAUCCUAUUGUCAUGUUGUGCUACUUAAUUUUUAUGCUAUGUUGCUUCCUUCAGUCUACUGCUCUAUUGCACUCUAACAUUUUACUCCCUUCAUGUUUUAGCUGUUCAACUAUUGGUGCUAUAAUAAUGACACCCCUCCUGACUAAACUCCUUGCUGGUCAACUAGUUCCUGUUGAUGCAGCAGUAAGGGCACUACAAUCCUGUCCCUAUUUGUUUCCUUAAUCUUGUCUGCUUGAGUUAAAAGGUUAUUAUGUUUGUGCAGGGAUUGGCCAUCAGUACUUUCCAGGUUGUUUUAUUGCCGACUGUUCUUGGAGGUGCUUAAAAAACUUAAUGGGAGAUUAAUUUUAUUGGCUUUAGUAUCUUAGAAAUAUUUUCUCUUACAGCUUGUGUGACUAUAUUUUUGUCACUAUGCAGUAUUGGCCCACGAAUAUUUCCCCAAGUUUACUGAGCGCAUUAUCACCGUAGCACCCCUGUUCGGAGUCCUCCUCACCACUUUGCUUUGUGCGAGCCCUGUAAGUAUAACAAAGAACUUACUAGAGUAAGGUUCAAGCAUUUGCAGAACUGUUUGGUAAUAAUUCAAAAUCAUUUUUAUAUGUUUCAUGAAAUAACAAAUUCAAAUAUUGUUGGGAUACCCCAUUUUAACCUCACCAAGCAUGUGAUGUUUCUACUCACAGUCAAGUGUGCCUAAAUUUAUCUCUUAGCUAGUAAUUUGUAAUAGUUAUAUUCUAUUCUCUUAUCUUUUUGUAAAAGUUGCUCCUCACAAUUAUAUUUUGGAUAGUAUGAAUGAAAUGCUAAUUGUUUAUACUAAUUUUGAUUGGAAAAUCAACUUUUGCAAGAUUGGGCAAGUCGCAGAAGUGUUGAAAACUCAAGGUGCCCAACUUAUUAUCCCUGUCGCUCUGCUACAUGUUGCUGCAUUUGCUCUUGGGUACUGGUUAUCGAGAUUCUCUAGCUUUGGGGAAUCAACUUCUAGGACCAUCUCAAUUGAAUGUGGCAUGCAGGUAAAGAAAUGUUGAGAUGCUCAGGUUCAAUCUGUUCUUAUCUAGCCAUAGAAAUUUGUAGCACCGUUAUUGUUUUAAUUAUUCUUACUUUUGUUUGGGAUAUUAUUAGAAAAUGGUGGGCAAGUAAAUAAUAUAUUUGGUGAAUUAUUUGUGAGUUUCUGUGCUGGUGCAGUUUGUCAUGUAGUUCUUGCUUAGACAUCAAUAUUCUGUAAAAUUAUUUUGCUGCCUGGUCUCACAAACAUGUUAUCUAUGUCUAAUGGUUGGUGAUGUUAGACAGCCUCUUGAUGAAUCUGUUUAGUUUUUCACUACUAGUAACAUUAGAUGGUUUUUUGCUAUUGAUACUCUUCUCAGUGGAAUGAGUUUUGUUGGACUCUGAACCUUCCUGGUUUUACUAGUAGUUUAGUUCGCGAAGCAUCAAAACAUUCCUUAGCUAGAUGUCUGUACAGUUAUGAAGUUUCUUCUCUUGCCUAGAGCAAUGUGGAUUUUCAAUUUAGUGUUUAACAAUGCCACUUUUUUUUGUCAGAGUUCUGCGCUUGGAUUUUUACUUGCUCAAAAGCACUUCACAAAUCCGCUCGUUGCUGUUCCUUCUGCUGUCAGCGUUGUGGCCAUGGCCGUAAGUUUCCUAGUUUCCUUCUCUUAGCCCGAUGUAUAUGUGCCACAAUUCUUUUGCACUCACUGUUAACAUUUUGCGUGGUGGCACAAGUAAAUGUGUGUUCUCAAAGGUCUUCACCUUUUUGUUCGUGACAGCUUGGAGGGAGUGCUCUUGCAGUUUUCUGGAGAAGCAUAGGGCUUCCAGCGAAUGACAAGGACGACUUCAAGGAGUGAACAAACUCAACAAGAGAACCUAUCGCUGUCACCUGGUAUUGGUUUUUAGAUGAGCGUGGUUACAUCAGAGCAGAUUCAUGUUCCCAAAUUUCAGGAAUGGAUAUCAAGGCCUAUAUUCUAUCCUGUGGGUUAUCCUUAGGGGUUACACUCUUGUUAUGUUUGUUGUGUAAUAUUUCACCUCUGCUUUCCCGCAGAGCAGUCAAAAAAGUCUUGUGGACCCUUGGGUGGUCCAAGUAACUGGUCAGUUUGUUCCAAUAGUUGAUAUGACAAUUAAGAAUUAUGAUUAUCCUGUGCUAUUGUUGAAUGCAUCGAUUGAAUUUUGAGCUACCUUUUGUCGAAGUGUUGCAGGUUUGUAAUAAUUCAAUUAUUGUGCCAAGUACAUGUUUUAAUGCUGUUUUUUGUUCGAACUGGGCCAGCCAGGAAAUUAAUUGCCUCAGAAUGAGAUUAUUCUUUUUUAAAAUGGACGAAUAUUCUUUUUUAUUAAUGCAAGAAACGAACAGAAUCAUUUGUUCAUUGUAGAAUGUAAGUAACACGAUGAAUCCAGCUGGGGAGUUCUUUUUCUGUUGAUUUAAGUAUGUUUUUUUACGCCUGCACCUGGGGGGCUGUGGCACGCUCGGGUAUUGUAUAACUCCUGCAGUCCUGCUAUGUACUCCUAGGUGACAACAUUGUACUAUGAAUAGUUAAUGGAGAAGUUACAAUAAUGUAGUAGUAACGUCAAAACCGUGGGCAGGGAAAAACUCGAACAAAACUGGUACGUCUGCGUCGCAGGCUCGCAGCAUCAGCGCAGCGCAGCUCCUGUGUGGCUGCGUGCACCUGCCAUUCUGCCUUCCCCUCAGACGGACCCCAUGGCACACUGCUCCAGCACACGCAUGCAUUGAAUGGGGCGCAUGCGCCGUGACGCGCAUACCACCAGCCCCUGAGGUCAUCGGCAACUGUACAAACGUGCAUGCCUGAGGUCACCGGCGGGCGGGUACUGUGCGAGAUACAGUAUAUUGCAGCGCUGACAGGAUCGCGUACGCAGUGGCGGUACCACUGGAUCGUGCUCGUACGCAUAUAAAAACGAUCGGCCAUCCAUCGGCGUCAAUCACCUCGAUCGCAGGAUGCGCAGGUGUGCAUCAGGGUGGGGGAGGGGAAUGACCAUCGGUAGUAUAGCAGCUCGAGAUGCACACGCGACAUUAUGGCGCUCGAUGGAUCGAUCGAUCGCGUGCCGUGCAUCCAGCCUCCAGGCAUGGCGACGGCAUCUUGCCGUCACUCCGGUGAUCCUGAUGGGAGAGGAGAGGAUCCAUCGGCGGAUCGAGCUUAUCAUGGUGCCAUCAUAAGCUCGGACGCAGUCGCCAUGCCCUCGGCCCUCGCUCGCUCAGUCGCUCUCGCCGUACCGGUAGCUGCACGCCAACUGCGGCCUGGAUUCUUGUAAUGAGACGUCAAAUCGACACGUACUGUGAAGCCUACCGAGGACCAGCUGGCCUUGUGGCAGAAACGGCGAGAAGGUCGCCGUACGCCCGUUUGGAAGAAAUUCUUCUUAUUUCGAAAUUUGGUCCACUCAGUUUUUUUUUUGCAAAAGAAUAAAAUCUGGUCCAGUCGGCGAAGCUGAUCCUUUGCGGUUUCUCUCUGAAAGCAUGUCACUAUCAGCAUCCCUCGAUUGUUGUUGCACGCCUGAAUCCUGCUGACCCCGUGGGCUCCAAACACAAAAGCUCGGUUUUACCAAUGGCUAGCAGCGAGUAGUAGUACUCCGUAGGUUGGAAUCCCGUCAUGGAGCGGUCCCCGAGAACGAGAUUUGGGGCCAGCGGUGCGCUGCACGCGCCGUGUUGCUCCUCCCGUUUUGCCCGUAUGCGCGCGCGCCGCGCGGAGCGCGAGGCAGGAGCCAUCAGCUAUCGUCUCGUCGUCUGGUCUCGUCGCGUGCACUUGAAUGGCGGAGUGGUCGCCGGACGCCGGGUGGGGCGAACGUCUGCGGCUGCCUGGCCUGGCCUGGGCGGCUGGGCGCCCGAUCCCAUCAAAGCCUUCCCGUCACGCGUUCCUCGGCGGGAAAAGCUCGUGGGCGUGGCGUGGGGGCGGUGCGCUGCGGUCCGGCCGGUCCGCGGAGGAGACCCGGGCCGGGAGGGAAUGGAAUAUCCCGCGGCGUGGAUCCUGCUCUGCAUCCGCGCGCGCACGUCGUCACGUCCGCUGGAUCGCGCCGGAUGCCCCGCCCCCGGCCUCUGCCGCGCGCAUGACCUCACCCACCACCCACGCCGCUAUACGAGGGCCAGCCGGGCAGAGGAGAGGCCCCCGCCGCCUGCAGCUUGCUGGCCGGCGGAGCUGACCUGAGGCUGACGCCACUGGCCUUUUCGAUCCGGCCAUCGCGCUGGCGAGCUCGCGUGCGGCCCGUACGCCUGGCUGCCUGGCUCUGGCUCCGCUCCCCACUGGGCAGUGGGCACUGGCCGACUGGCCGUCCGUCCCGUCCCGGCGGGGCGGUGUGAAUGAUUGAGAUGAUGAUGACGAGGUAUUUUAUCUUUUCGUCUUGUUUAUUAAUCGUCCUCUCCUUGUCAGGGGGGAGACGCAGAAAAGCAGAAUGAAUGCCCCGGAGUACUUACUUGGCAAGUCCUGCGUGCACACUUUCUUGAGUCAUCAAAUCAACCCGACUGUUCUCCUCUUCAUUUUCUUUCUGGGCAAGCAAUGACCGGAAGGUUUUCGAGAGCACGGUACCUUCUACACGUUGUAUAUACAGCCAAUACUUGCAAUACGUACAGGUAAUCGCUUCCGUUCCACAUGUGCUCGGAACACAUUCAAGGUCAAAGAUUUCACAAAGUAACCACCUUCAAACAAGUAGAGGGUUUAAAGUUUAUAAGAUGCUUAUUAUGUCACUACCGUUCCAAAUAGUAACGGGUAAGUCUUGUGUGUAUGUAUCUAUGUACGUAAGGUGACCAAAUUGAAGUUACAAAACCGAUGACCAAUACAUAGGAUCCACAGCCUGCCGGUCGCAUGAGAGUUCAACUCCAUCAGUCAAGCAUAGCUAGAAUUUUAGUGCGAUGCAAAAAAAAAGGCAUCCUCAAAGCCCCCGUUAAAAAGAACCGUAGGGGACGGAGGUUCUCACCGGACCACCGCCCCAUGUCUCUUCUUGUUGUCACGGAUCCUUUUGCCGCUCGAUCGCCAAGGCGAAGCAAGAAGCAACCACCUACACAGGACGGCGCCGGCCGGCGUUACUUUGCUCUGUCCGUGGCCGGCUUUUAUCCCCAUAUUCUGCCGUUACAUAGUUUUAUAGUCCGAUCCUACACAUGACGACGUGAUACAUCGUCGUCCUCGUCCAUCGCUUGCCGACGCCCGAAUUGCAUUUUUGGGAAUUCCCCUGCCACUAACCGCCUGGACCACCGGAGGACGGCAUGCCUAAGUGCAUGCAUGCCGGCCGGGCUAGUGUAGUGAGCACAAAAGCGAUUCCACAUCGCGAGUUUGCCGAGGUCAAGGCACCAGUUUAAUUCAGGUGCCGUUCGCGAAAAGAAGGCCAAGACUCGUCGAAUGUUUGCACUAUUGUGUGUACAUCGAUCACAACUGUGCAUGCCACAGCCUGGUUUGAUUGCCGGACGACGGUUGCAUGGCUUGCUCGCUACCACACCAGCACCAGUCGAACGCCAGAAAGAAUCGAAUCUUUGUGUGCAGUGGCUUGAGCCCUCUAACCACAGCCACCACACCACAUGAUCUAUCCCAGAUUCUAGCUAGCUUCACUGAUGGUUCUUCGACUUGUUCACCUCGAUCUCAUGUACUACUAGCACGUACGUAGUUUCUAGUUUGGCAUUGCUGAUGCUUCAGCGUGACGAACAGUACGCUACGGCCCAAGUGAUUCAUAUUUAGGGUGAUCCACGCAUACGCACGCACCUUUCGAUCCCAACUACUGCAUGCAUGGUCCAGACUAGUAACGUCUAGGCGAGCCUCAAAAGUUGUGUGUGUGGAUAUAUAUGCAUGCUUCCUUCGUCCCCGUCUUCCUUCGCUUUAUAUGCAUGGUGAUGAGAGGCCAUUGGAUUGGAUAACGCUGAGGUGGUGCCGUUGGCUGGGUCUUUCUUCCAUUUGCGGCAAUUGGCGCCAUUCGAGGAUCGAUCGGGCUACCAGCCUAGCUACCACCUCGAGAACCUGGACCGGCGUUACUGCUGCUGCUCUGCUAGCUACGUGUCAGCCUAUGAAUUCAAGAGCCUUCACCUACGGACCUACUCUACGGUCCUUUUAACUCAUCGGGCACUGCGUCGCUCAAACAGUCAAACUUGAGCACUUAACCGCAACUGGAGUACCUCAAAGGAGAAAGUUUAGGUUCAGAAAAAUGCAUGCAGGCCAUCUCGAUUUUAAUGUUCGCCCACUGCCUCAAGACGUUGACUCCUCUUUUUGGGAUAAAAUCUGUCCUUUGCCUUCUGAUAACCUUCAUGUGGGAGUACAGUAUGUGUGCUAAAUUUUCACUACAACAACAAAAAAAAAGGUGAUAGGCACUUUGCUUUAGGCAUUUUCUAAUUUGCCGCAAUAAAACUUUCUGAAAAAAUGUGUUUAAAUAAAUAGAUAUUAUGUGGAGUAUCAUAGAUAUUAUUUGUGGCACUUCAGAAGGUGGUCUCGAGUGUAGAGACACUACUUGAGAUAACCUGAAACAAAAUUGCUUGUGGAUGGCUGGAAGCACAUCUUUUACACACUUUACUUAAUUAUAAAUUUCAAAUACAAAAUAAUAUAGAGAAUUAGAGAUAUUAUUUUGGCAUUCCCAAAUUGACUCUAUCUGGUAUAUAUUGUUUGAGGCAUGUUUUAGAGUAUUUCCGCCCAUAUAGAAAUGCCACUGAUUCAGUAAUCCAAUAUAGAUGAUUCACAAAGUGUUUCUACUCUCGGAGAGUCUAAGACAAUGCAUCGGAAGGCGUUUUAUGGCAUUUUAGAAAAAAAUGACUAUGAUUACGUAGAAAUAUGGAGAGAAAAAAUAAAGUGCCUCUACAAGCCGGUUCUCUUGCAUGGAAACAUGGGGAAGAAAUCAUGCCAUACGCCCAUAUUGGUGGACGUUGGAGCGAACAAGGGAAUAGUAGUGACAGGUGGUGAGGUUGGACUUGAAAGAAGAUUGGGAGGUGUGAUUCUUCUACAGGAAUGGGAAUGAGAUAUUGCUUGACGAUUACUAGAUACUAAAUGGAGUUGAAAUUGGGGAGUACGUUAAAAAAGCCGCUGGUAGAUAAAAUCUCUACUUGUCAACUGUAGGCUCACUGGAGCUUCAAAUUUGUCUCAAAUUCGUACUGCUCUAGUACUUUACGACACCUCAAGACAAACCUAAUACGAACGAGCAAUCAUGAGCGCAUUAAGACCGGUUGCAAGAUGGCGGGCCCGGUGUUAUGGUCUUACACGAGGUGGACCAGCAGUCUAUCUAUACGUACACGUACUAAUGUACCCGUAGGCAUGCUCGUACACGUACGUACUCCUAUGGCGAGGGCCAAAGCGAGAAAGAGAGCGGUGUAUGGAGCAAAAUAGCCGAUGGAGCCGAGGGCGAGCGUGACCGAUCCCGGAGGCGAGGACCACGACCAGUAGUCCACUUGCUGGCGUGAUUAGGACGAGGGCCGGGGUCCACGGUGCAGCGGGCCGGGCAGCAGAGAAUCAUCAUCAUCAAUGAUUGAGCGAACGAACGGCGCGGGGCCACCGCCCACGAACGCACUGGCACCACCACUGCCAUAACGCGCCGGCCGCAUGCGGCAUGCCCGAGUCCCGGGGAACUUGUUGCCAAGGCGUGGCGCACGGCGGAGCUAGGGGAGCCACCCCCCUAGCUACCUUCCAGCGUGCGUGCUAGCCGUAGCCCUAGCCCUAGCCGUGGGGGCCAACCAGCCAAGGGCCAUGGCCGAUCGAUCGCGCGCUAGCUUCGGCGGUGCAUGCUCUUCUCUGAUCCUACUGCCCAUGCAUGCGCAUUUUCCUGCAUGCUCGCGGCCGCUCUAGCUAGGCCGGCCGGAGAACGGGAGAAGCUCAGAAGUCUUGCUUUCGGCCAUGUUCCACUUUUUUUUUCUAUCUCAGUGAAAAUUUACUGCUGAUCACUGAUGUUGGCACGCGCAGUGCGUGCCUGACCCCUGAUCAGAUUUUUCAGACCUUGAUCGGAUGGCCUGUGCGCCUGCGACGAGCUGGAAGGCAUGGCGCAUGCGGUACUACUCCACUGUGCAAGCCAUGCAUGCAGCGAAUCCUCGUCCGGAUCAGGGUGGCAACAUUGUCACCAGGCUUGGCAAUAAAUGUUCCCAUCAAAGCCCUGACUGUAGCUUGUAGAUGGUCGGCCGGCCGGCCACCCGGACGCAUGCAAAUUGAUGCCUGGCUCGACGUCCUCAAGCUCAGCACAUCAUUUUGAACUCAAUCAGACUCCGAGUUGACUUGUACCCGUCAAUCAACGUAUUCGCAGAUUGCGCUCACUGCUCGACCAACCGAGCUAGGGUCGGCAUUGAUGCCUGGCUCAGUGCUGCUAGCUGCGUGCUGUACGCCUAGAACCUCGCAACCGGUACAUAGGAGUAAGGUGCUCCUUUAGUCCAUGGACUAAAGUUUUAGUCCAUGGACUAAAGUUUUAGUCCACUUUAGUUCAUGAAUUAAAAAUGGAUUAAAAUGGUGUUUGGUUCAAGUGACUAAAAGUGACUAAAACCAUUAAAUGCUGUGACAAGAUUACCAUUUAGCCUUUGGAAGCUCUCCCCACCAGUUGCCCCUGGCGCAACAGCCUGGCGCCAAAUUCUGGUGGCGCCAACACCCUGCAGGCGCGCGCCAAAGCUCCAGGCGCCAUAUCACCUUCUAUUUCAUGCUGAGUAGGAACGCCAAAAUCUUUCUUGUGCCACAUGUUCAUUCCAUUUGGUAAAAAAAAGUCCAUACAAAUGUUCAUACACAUUCAUACACUCAUACAACCUGGGAGGGUGUUUUAGAGGCCUUGUCAUCUUCUUCGUCACCGGCAUCAACAUCCAGUGGAUUGUCAUAGCCGUGGCCUCCAGAGGAAGAUGCACCGCGUCCUCUUCCCAAUCUUCCUCCCCCAUAGCUCCCACCUCUGCCUCCACACCUACCGUUGGCUCCUCCACAUCCUCCACCCACUCUCCCUCCACCGGUUGCGGCGGUCAUGGACCGGCGACCACGCCCUCCGCCACCCUGUGCUCCCACCCUGCCUCCAGGGGCUAAGGAGGGAGUUGAUGCUCCAAACCAGCUGCACCCCCUGUAGGAACUCCUGGUAUGACCUAAUAUUGGGGAACACGUCGGCCUCUGAGUUGAGGUCCAGAUGCUCCAUGUGGCGGUGGGGAGCGGACAGGGAGGAGGCCGACGGCGACACGAACGAGCCGAAAUUGUCUUCGUCCGCAUCUUCCGAGGAAGUGUGGAAGCUACGUGUACUGGAUGAAGAACCCUAAUACAGGAACUCCCGGUAGUUGUAGUUAUCCAUGGGUGGGGUGCGGUGGUUGGGCGCGGUCGUGCUGGCGGCAUGGGAAGGAGAGGGAGGGGGCGGAUCCGGCGGGGGAGCUUCGGGGGUGGUGGAUCCGGUGUGUGGAGCUUCGGGUGCGGUGGAUCUAGUGGGGGAAAUGGUGCGGGCGGCCAGAAUCGAGAGGAAAUUUGGGGCAACUGGCGGGCGGUGUCAAGGAGGGGGGAGCGAGCGGAUGCCGGCGUGGGAGGGCGCGACCGCCGGUGAGAGGGCGCGGCCGCCGACAUGGAGGAGGGAGCGAGCGAUGGCUGGGUUGGGGGAGGGAAGCGAGCGGUGGUUGGGCCUACGGGGUCUGGAGGCGGGGGUGGGAGGACUCGGGGGCGGUGGAUUCGGCGGGGGAGGGCGCGGCCGCCGGCGUGGAGGAGGGAGCGAGCGGCGGCUGGGUUGGGGGAGGGAAGCGAGCGGCAGUUGGGCGUGCGGGGUCUGGUGGCGGGGGUGGGAGGACCCGGGAGGGGGGAGGGUGCGGGGGUAUGGUGUGCAGAGAAGAUUUUAGUCGGUUUUAGGAGGGGUGGGAGGGCUAAAGGAUUUUAGUCUUCUCACCUUUUAAUCUUUUAGCCAGCUUUUAGUCACCUUUUAAUCCAAAAAAUUUUAGGAGGUGGGAAUCAAAUGACCUAAGCUCAAGGAGGCGCGCACCGUAGUCUACAACCAUUCGCUCGCUCCUCUCUGCAUGCACCGCCGGCCGGCUGCACGCUCCAUUUACUCCCAUCUCAACCACCGAUUUCUCCUCUAGGACGCCGCGCGAUUGACUUGGAUGGAGCCUUUGAGUUUUUGCAGGGUGGUUUUCGCAUAUAAUGCUUCGCCAAUUACAAACGAGUCCUUAGGAAUGUUAUCGUUCAUUUUUUAAAACUUCUAUCAGCCCUCCACUCUGGCAACACCAACAAAUAUUUAGCAGUUCCAUUGUUCAUAAAAAGGGUUUCAAGAAUCUUUUAAAAAAAAGGGUUUCAAGAAAGUGAAACGUUGCAAGGUGAAGUGGAAAGAGCUGCUAGAGACAUACGAGGAGGAUGGUGUGUGGGGAUCGAUGAUAGCAACAGCUGGGGAGGCCGGCGCCAAGCAGUAGGAUGAGACUUGCUGGGGUGGUGGCAGCAGCUUGGUGGGAGUGGGCUAGGAUUAUGCAUUAAUUCGAUAGGGAUGGAGACGAUGGUGCAAAUCUAGAUCGUGUCGAAUUAAACUUUUGAUAGCAAAUAAAGUGACUAGAUUGGUUUAUAUGUAGAAUGUAUGCGAGAAUGGAUACUCUACCUGUAUAUAUACAUUUCUUCAGAACGUGAAAAGGUUGGCACGACUUGGUCUCUUUAGAACACAAUUUGAUCUCUAAUGUUUAACAUAAUACAUUGAGAAACCACAACACAAUUGUAUGAUUGUGCAAAACUAUAUUUGAUAUAAAUCUACACUUACCUUUUGUAAAUAUUCAAUGUCAGUAUAUAUACAAACUAACUGAUGAUUGGAGUUUUGAUACCUUCACAUAUCCCAGUUCCCUAAAGUCACUCUUAGCCCCCAAUAACUCCAUAUUGUUGCUUCCUAUCAUCUACUCCGUUCAUCCAAAAAGAGUAUUGUUCUAGCUUUGCCCUUAGUCAAACUAUCUUUAGUUUGACCAAGUUUAUAGUUAUGAUAUCAAAUAGGUAUACCAUGACAAUAUAUUUCAUGAUGUAUUUAAUGAUACUUUUUUGAUAUCAUAAAUAUUUUCAUUUUUAGUAUAAAGUUGGGUCCAACUUAAGAUGGUUUGACCUGGGACAAAACUAGAGUAACACUUUUUGGAGCGAAGUGAGUAUACUACUCUUAGCUUCAAAUACUUUUUUUCCCCAAUAAUAAUAUUAUUCUGUCUUUGUGUUUAGGGAGUCUCUAAUGGUUAUAUGUAGUUUUAUCUAUAAGAGUGUACAUGUAAUCUAUAUACUACACUGAAGUUAACUUCUCUAAUGGCUUACCUACAAGGUUGUCUCUUAAUUUUAUUAAUGCUUGCAUACGAUUGGUUAAUGUGGUGAUAAUUGCUUUGUUUUUUUUUGAUAAAAAUGCUUUGUUUUCUCCCAAGCAAGAACUAUUUUUGUUCUCUCCAUCCACUAAUUCUCGUCCACUAGGAUAAUUGCUAAGGUGUAGUACCACCUUAAACAACAGGAGCAACACCCAUCUUUGGACCAUUAAUCCACUAACCAACACACUUGAAAUACAGGCGGCUAGAGGGUAUAGGAUGCUCCCACUCUCCCCCCACCGCAACCACUCCUACAUUUGAAUCACGCAAGCCAAAACCGAUUGUGAAAAGUACAAAGAGUGACCUUGACACAUGCGCGCGCGAGAGUGACAAGUGCUAUUCCAAAUUUGCAACCGCAGACGACGGAGGACCUAGCUAGUAACACCCACCCACCUAUACACAAUGACUAGCUAGCGUGGAGGACCAUGCCUCACCACGAGGUGCGAGCAUUGGAGCAUACACUCACAUUUCGUUUUCCAAGCGGAAAAACCCCAUGAACUCGCGUCACACGGCUCCAUUCCACUACGAAAUAGAAGUAUUAAUUGAAAAACAAACUCCUACUCUGCCUACUAGUACCACUACUACGAGACGAGCUCGCCGGCUGCAAGAGCCCUACAAGUCUGCAGCCGAUGAAGAGUAGUACGUGCUCUCUGCCCAGAACCCCUAUAAAACCCCUCCCACAGUAAACUCCACACGGUAAAAAGAAGGACGCAGCCACACACGCACCCAUCCGGUUCCUGGCCAGCAGGCUCGAAGGCGAUGGACGGCGAGGCGCAAGGACGACGCCGCCCGGCGUGGGUCCCCGGCGCCAUCAUCGUCGGCGCGGGCCCGUCGGGGCUGGCCGCGGCCGCGUGCCUCGCGGCGCGCGGCGUCCCAGCCACGGUGCUCGAGAUGUCCGACUCGCUGGCGUCCACGUGGCGCCACCGCACCUACGACCGCCUCACGCUCCACCUCCCCAAGCGCUUCUGCGAGCUGCCCCUGCUCCCGUUCCCGGAGGGCUACCCGGCGUACCCGUCCAAGGACCAGUUCGUGGCCUACAUGGAGAGCUACGCCGCCGCCGCCGGCGUCGCGCCGCGGUUCGGCGCGCGCGUCGAGGAGGCCGCCUUCGACGCGGCCGCCGGCGCGUGGGCGGUGCGCCUGGCCGGCGGGGAGCUGCUCCUGGCGCGGUGGCUCGUGGUGGCUACGGGGGAGAACGCGGUGCCGCGCGAGCCGGAAUUCCCCGGCGCACCGCGGUUCGCCGGGCGCGUCAUGCACACGCGCGACUACAAGUCGGGCGAGGUGUUCUCGGGGAAGAAGGUGCUGGUGGUGGGGUGCGGCAACUCCGGCAUGGAGGUCAGCCUGGAUUUGUGCCGGCACGGCGCCAAGCCCUCCAUGGUGGUGCGCAACACGGUAACUAAUGAUCCCCGUGCUUGCUUACUUACUCCUAGUCCUAGCUAGGACCCGUCGUUUUCUACUCCCGUUGUCUUGCUUUGGACAGCGAAAGUACAAGUGCUGCGAGUUUUGUGCCAUCCUGCUUGAGCACUUUCCCCUUGGAUGAUUGUCUUUGCGCGCGUCGCGCUUUGUUUUUGCUGCGAUCUUUUUUGGGGCAUGCCUUAAUGUGCGUGGUCAUAUUUGGGCACGCUAAGCAUUAUUAGACCUACUAACAUGUGGUACGGUGUUGGGGAUGUCUCUGUCUUGUCCCGUGCCAUGCUCAGCACCCAUAACAUUCUUCUUCGUCUUUGUUCUCUCUUCUUUCGUUCGCAUCAGAAAUUAAAGCUACAAGUAUGUGAUGCGUUUUGCGCAGGUCCAUGUGCUACCCCGGGAGAUGCUUGGCCUCUCCACGUUCGGCAUCGCCAUGGCGCUGCUCAAGCUGUUCUCCGUCCAGGUAGUCGACCGGAUCCUCCUCGCGGCGGCGCGGCUGACGCUGGGCGACACGGGCAAGCUCGGGCUGAGGCGGCCCAAGACGGGGCCCAUGGAGCUGAAGAACCUCACCGGCAGGACCCCGGUGCUGGACGUCGGGACGCUAGGCCACAUCAAAACCGGCAAAAUUAAGGUUAGUGGCAGCCUACUUGCAUUUACACCAUGCUUUCACCAAAGGAGAGCAGCAGCAGUAGAAGAAGAAAAUCACCACACGCACGACCAGUCAAACCAUGGGAAUUUGAACCCCGGGCCGGGCGCGGUCGUGGGCCUGUGCCUCAUCUGGCAUGCCAGCCCGGCUUUAAGGCUCGCCUUGCUCACACACACACACACACACACACACACACACACACACACACACACCAAUUCUGCGAUUGGUUUCCCCCUGAGAAGCGGGCUCUGUUUUUAACCUCUCGUCCUGCAUCAAACCUACCGCUGAAUGAGUUGCUGAUGCGAAACAUGAUCGCCAGGUAGUGGGAGCAGUGAAGGAGGUGACCCGGAGCGGGGUCAGGUUCGCGGACGGCAAGGAGGAGCAGUUCGACGCAAUAAUACUGGCCACAGGGUACAGGAGCAACGUGCCGUCCUGGCUCAAGGUAAAUUCACCUCCCCCAUUCCUCCUUCCUAGUACUGCAACGAGGGGCAAGGCAAAGAUGAAAAGUGACGCCGGCGAAAAGGACUCGCUUGUUUGUUGGUUCGGGGCCCUGCCCUUUGCCGAGCAGAGCAGCAGCUGCUGCAGCGCGCAUCAUGUCGUCACCCCUGUUCGGCCAUCCUGCCCCCGUUGCCCUUCUCGUGUAUGCCGGGCGCGCAGGCGCAGCUCGUGCCCCGCGCUGCGCCGCGCGUUCCUUUCUCCCGAAGUGUUCACCCGCGCCCAAGUGAUCGAGUCAGUGAGUCACCCCGGGGGUAUGGGCGCGGGCACAGGAGCAGGGGCCCCAACGCUGGCUUGGCGCUGAUCCAAGGACUAGGGUGAGGACGACGGGUUCGUAUACGGACUCGGGAGUUUGGAUAUACGCUUUGGGUCCAGUGGAUAGAUACUUGUCGAUACCUCAAGGUGAACGGUCGAUUUGUAUGCAACGUGUGCAACGAGAAUCAGCCAAGUUAAUAACUUGCUGCAUUUACAAUAUUUCUUCUUCAUGUAGGAGUAUACUGUUUGCGACCUUGCUCAUGAACCUCGUUAUCUUCUACUAUGCAGGAUGGAGGUGACGUGUUCACGAGAGAAGGCAUGCCCAAGACCCCCUUCCCCAACGGCUGGAGAGGGAAGAACGGGCUCUACACCGUCGGAUUCUCUCAGCGGGGGCUGCUCGGCGCGUCGUCCGACGCCCUCAACAUCGCCAGAGAUAUACAUUGCCAGUGGAAGGACAUGGGCAGACCCGCUAACAAUAAUGUGCUCCAAAGUGACGAUACUGUUUGACUCUCGUGUAAAUGUACAGUACGCAAGUGGUUAUAUUAAUGUCUUCAAAAGGUACCAUUUUGUGUGCUUACGACAGCAUGAUUUUCGCUUACCGAAUUGGCCAACUUAAAAGCCUUUUAGGGCACGAUUGGUUCACUGCCGAUACUAACCAAACCAAAUUUUUGGCGUGCGCAUAAGUAACUUGCUCCCUCCAUCCAUCCAUUCCAAAAUAAGUAUCCUUUUAGUAUUCAAUUUUUGUCACAAAGAAUGUACCUUUAGCUUCUAGUAAGACUAAUCUAAUUAAAAGAACACUCACACAAAUAAAAUGGAACAUAUAGAGAAGCGUGUAGCACCAAUCAAAUGGCUAAUUGAUGUUAUUUGUUAUGACUACUAUUGUGUCUAAAUUUUCUAAAAGGACACUCUUUGUGGGAUGGAGGGAUUAGAGUCUAAUAAUUGCAUAUUAAUAUCCGUUCCAAUUAAACCAACAAAACAAGAUAUCACUCAACUAUAUUUCGAUACAAAACAAAAUAAUGACAUAUGGACCCUACAUUGCAUACUAAGAGACGAGUAAAUUUUGCAAUUUUUGGCAAGCUAUAAUUUAAACACAACUUUGCUAACGUUUUGGUGUAGCCCAUAGUUUGGUCGCGACCAAAAUUUGGCUGGACUAGAUGGGCUUAAACCAAACAUGCCCUUUGAUAGAAUCAAUCGGCGAUGGUCAAUAUGACAUGGUAAAACUCAUAGACUCAUGUUUGUGAUGUGGAUUUAUUUUAUGGUAUGGAUCAAUUGAUGAUCAUCCUUCUUAUUUUACGUGUUAACUUUGUUACAUAUUAGUAGUACCCAUUAUUAAUCAUAGUCGUUGAAGUGGACCGUUAGGUCAUGUGGUUUUUUCACUACCAGAUAGUCUCAUACAUAUCGUCUUCUUGCAAGUGCUGGCAAUCUAACGACACAAAUAGCUAGUAAGCGAUGGUAAUAUGUUGACGCUCAAGAAUAGAGAUAAUUUAUUGUCUUUCAUUUUAGUUACAUACCACUUGGGCCCAUCUAGAACCGUAAGUCCAGGAAAGAUGAAGCCCAAAAGACCCUAUUUGAACCCAUGUUGGCUGGCAUGGCGCAAAUCUCGACCUUGUGUACGAAGGCAACGAACCUUAAUCUAGGAGGCUUCUAAAAGAACUUAACACUUACAUAUCCAAAACUUAGUAUGAAAGAUACAUGGGAACAUGAAAAUGGAAGGUGUAAUGGCCGACACACCAUGCAUUGUGCUAACCAACACAUAAUAUUUUGACGUUGAUUUGACGUACCAUUUGAACCAGAGGUUUACAUAAGAUCUCAGGACUAACAUGCCUGAAGAUGAGUGAAAUUGGAACAUGGGAAGGUGAAAAAGGGAAGUGAACCAAUCGGUUCAUCCACUGAACUAACAGACACAAUUUGAUUUGGUGUUGGUUUGCUCAGGGUAUAAAUAGAGGGGGUUCCUCGAUUCAAAUCAGGGAUCCAUCCACUAGAAUUUUAUAAUAAAACCAAAUGACACGCACCAUACGAAGUUGAUGGCACCUGCAAGUCUUUGAUUUGUCUAGGAUAUGACUUAGGCUAGAUUCUAGCCAGUGUGAUCACCCUGAGUGAAAUGAUCAUACUGGAGUUUAGGAGCUACAUGUUUCAUCAUUGUAGAUAUGAUAUAUAUAGGUGGUGAUGAUAUAAUGUAUACAAUGUUGAAUAGAGUUCAUCAUGUCUUCCGAUCUAUUACCGACUGAGUGUUUACUUUUAUGCUUUCUACUAUCAUGGAUAUGAUUAUUCCUAGCGCAAUUCUAGAUUAGACUUUUAGCAUGCUUUAUGUAAUCACACUGAUUAGAUUUAGUGUAUCUGUCCUCCAUGAUAGCUAGACAUGUGCUUAAAAUACCCCCCUUAGAGAGCUCUUUGUGGUCAUGUCUAGAAACCUCUUGCACAUAAUGGCAGAGUGUGGCAUGAUCUGGGCUUAAUAGGGCAGUAGUACUUUGGGUUAGACCGAAGGUAAUAGUUUAAUAACUGUUUUUGGAUGAGAUGUUUAAUUUACUUGCUCUUUGGCUAAAGCUAACUACAAGACGUUUGGCUUAAGUUAACUUUGGUUCUGUUACAUAUCUACCUAUCUAUGGAUGUAAUCCACUCAUGCAUAUAUAGCUACCCUAUAUUGGGGUUAAUUUUUAUAUAUAUACAAUCUGAAUUUCAUGAUAAUAUUAGAUCUUUUAAGUUAUCAUAAAGCCUUAGAUUAGUUUGCCGCCGAUAUUUGUGGAUUCGGUUAAAGCCUAGAAUACUCUUGGGGGAAGCUACAAUUGUCACCAUGUACUUGACUUUUGCUUAUGGCGAUUACUUACAUGUUUUCUGCAAUUGCAAUUGCCAAUGAUAAGGGUGAAGAAGAAUCGAGAGGGUGUCAAACGGGGACAAAUAGACAAUCUUCACUUUGUCUUAGUUUCAUGCAACAAGUCAAUGUUAUUUUAAUAACUUGUACAAAUCAUCUCCAUAGAUGCAUGUAGAUGCAUCUAUAUAUCUUUUAUGACAAGAUUGCGUCCAACAUCACGUGUUCCAUUUUAUAGCGCGACCACCACCAAUGUCAAUAAGAGUAUAAGAGAUCUUUCUACUUCACAGCUUACCACUGGCAGUCAUUUGUUGCUGCCAUCUUAGGCCCAAGUCAUUAUUGUACACAUAGAGCAAUCAUUACCCAUGUAGACGUGCAGGCCCUGCCUUUCAUGUGGGGCAGGACCUACUGCCGGCACCACAAGAAGGUGAAGCGUUAGUGAUCACAUCAGAAGCUGCCCCAUCUGUAUGUAAGGGAGUACUUUGCAUCAUUGAAUAAAGCAAGAAAGAUGUUAUAUUUUGUUCCUAAUUUUUAUUAGCUUCCGUGAUUAUAUUCAUGUAAUAGUACUUGUUCUCUAAUAUCAAAUUUCGUAGGUUAGGAAUUUGGGGUUUUGGCUCAAAUUAUUGGCUGUUCUUUGGCUCAUAAGCUUGCUAGCUAUCAACUGGUGCAUAUGCAAGUACACAACAUGGAAAUGAUAUCUGUCCAAUUGAACCAAUGAAAUCAUAUAUCCUGGCAAGGAAGACAUGUCCUGCUAUUCAUGUGUCAGCUCAACGUUGGGUUCAUGCCAAAAGAAUUAACAAAGAACUGACUUUCCAUUCGGAUUUGAACCUGUCACAAUUUCUAAAUUCAAGGUAUGAGCUCUUUCUUUUUCAGAUCUAUAAUAAAAAAUGUCUCCCUCAUAAAUUAACUAAAGUGUUAUUCAUGGAGGAAACUGCCAAUGUUUAGGUUAUUGUGCAGAUUAUCCAUUCUUCAUGAAACUAAAUGGCAACAUUUUAAUAAUAAACAUAGAUACUACAAGAAUUUGAAAAUCAUUAUUAUAAUAGUAUUUCAACAAUUAGUAGAUAAUAAUUUAAUCUUACAAUUUUUUAUAGGUUCAUCCCUACACAUGAUUUUAUCAUCUGCAAUAUUAUAUUUACAAAUCAAAUGCAUACGCCAAUUUUAUUUCCUUCCAUUUCCUGCUCUAUGCAAGAUAAUAACAUUAGCAUUGUACUACACAGUAUAUAGACUUGUUUGAGGACUAAAAAAAGUUGCCUCUAGCUACCGCACUUUGUUUCUUCUUUCUUGUAUGUUGAUACAACCGAAACUACACUGUAUGUUGAGCCAUGAAGCUAUUACUUAGGUAGGGGUAGACAGUGUUGUCUUAGAAAGUUUCUAGCUCCUCUGUUAGUAAGAAAUGGUAGUCCCCCAAGGCCAUGAAUCAAUUAAUAUGAUAAACACGUGGUACAAAAUAUUGGAUUUUUACAUUUUCUGCUGUUUGGUUUUGUGUGUUUAUGUGUAUCUUUUUAUUUAUAUAUAUUCUACUUGAUCAUAUUGUUCAAAUUUUUUUUACAGAAGGGGCUGGAGCCCAUAUAUUUAGAUUGCCAUGAAGUUUAUAAAAAUCACCCUGGAGAAGAUCAAAGUUACAACACGCCUCAGCACACAAACUCCAUUGCACAAUCUUACACAAAGGACCCAGAAGAAAAAUAAAUUUGACGUAGCAAUCCUCGGAUCCUCUGCCGCUGCUCCUAGUUGGAGCGCCGUAAUCAUGAUCCGCCAGAGUCAGGGAAGGAGCACCGUAAUCGGGAGAAGAGGAGCUCCACCAAGCAGCCCAACGAGACCUCCAGCUUUUUAACGCUGCAAGACAUCUCUCCACUGGGGUAUAUUGGCAGUCACUGUUGGAUUCUUGGCUAAGUAGAAGACCGAUGACGCCGACGAGGUCGACGACCCGGAAAAGGAAUCGAGCGACAACAUAGGAGAACAAAAAAGGAACCCCGUUGACCUGGAUAGAAGGCAACCCUAGCUAGAGGACAGAGGAUCUCCAAUCCCAACCGCGCAUAGGGUAGAUAAAACAUACCAAAACAUAUCCGCACUAGAAAUUGUAAUUGUUAUUUUAUAGAUUGUUCGGAUUUUUAAUCUUGUCUCUCUACAUUCUAAUAUCAUUUCAUUUUUCUGUAGACUGACAUAUAUACUUGUGCACGAACUGUGAAGAGCUUAAGUAUUGCUCGUGAAACCCCAUCUUCUAGGGCUAUACUAUUUGAGCUCUCUUACCAACUACUUGCUGCCAUGUUACGAUGGUGUGUCACAGUUGCCUUUUUAACUUGCUUGUGUUGGCCUUUUCUUUUGAGGGCAACUUGCUUGCUGCGUUGAGUUAGUAUGUGUUGGACAAUUUAUGAAGAAACUGGGUUUGAACAUGGAGUCCAUGCGUUUCUUUACCAAAGGCUUUCAGUAAUCAAAUCAAUCAGUGCACAGAAAAGAGUUGACCUAUAUACUAUACUUAGAGCAGCAAACUAAAAAAAAUGCCAGCAGUCGCUGGGCACACCCCUUGGCACAGAACCUCUUUCACGCGGUGGUUGGCGUGCAACAUCAAAAAUUCGAAGUCGACAUACAGACAUCUAGAGGCAGGAGUGCGCCAGUGUAUCUCAUUCAUAUACAUACUGAAUGCUAAAAGUAGCGCUUGGCUGAAGCUAUCCCACAAAACGGGAUGCACGGCGAUGCGGUCGAACGCUCACCCAACAUGGUGUCGCACACUUGGAUACAUGUCCUGGAACCGUCCUUGGGAUCAAUCGGCUUGAUCUCAACGCUUAGCUCUAUCCCUCGGCCCUGCCGGUCGCGCACCAUCUUGUCGCACAGCCUCUGGGACAGUAAGACGCCACCUUUCGGCAGAGACACGUCCAGGUCCACGGCCGACCACCUGCCCACGCAGAAGGAAGGCAGUCUGCUCCACCCGACGACGCUCGUCUCGUUGUAGUACAUGACCACGGCCGUGUUCUCCCAGCAGACUCGCCGCAUAUGCUGUUGUUGUCCACAUGGAUGGUGAGGCUGAAGGCCGGCGCCGAGACAGACGCAUCAAGGCUCUCGAGACCUUAAACUUGGACAGAGAAGCGAGGGUGCACGUAGCGAACCCGGCCUAGCAGGUACGCCGAGCCACAGAACAGCAGGACGAAGGCGCAGGACCACCAGGAGCCAUGCAACGAAGGGAGGAGUUUCGCCGUUCUCGCCUCGUUGGUCGGGUCUCACUCUCGCGUAGUCGGCCAUGACACCCCCGAGAUCGAUCUGUGAACGAAUCUCAGAGAUAGCCGCCGCGCCGGUCUGGAAUAUAAGGGGGUGUUUGGAUACACCCUCCUAAACUUUAGGACCUGUCACAUCGGAUGUUUGGAUACUAAUUAGGAGUAUUAAAUAUAGUCUAAUUACAAAAUUAAUUGCACAGAUGGAGUCUAAUUCGCGAGAUGAAUCUAUUAAGCCUAAUUAGUUCAUGAUUUGACAAUGUGGUGCUACAGUAACCAUUUGCUAAUGAUGGAUUAAUUAGGCUUAAUAGAUUCGUCUCGCGAAUUAGUAUAGGGGUUCUGCAGUUGGUUUUAUAAUUAGCUCAUGUUUACUCCUCCUAAUUAGCGUCCGAACAUCCGAUGUGACCCUCCUAAAGUUUAGGACUUCGUAUCCAAACACCCCCUUCUAUAGCACGCGCGCCACGCAGCCAGCUAGGAUCCGUUUCGGUUGGCCGGUGUUCCGAGCUAAUCGUCGUCGGACUCCCUAAUCCGAUUCGAGUCCAAGUUCAAAAACCAGUACCACCUUUCGAUGCAAUUCAGUGCUCUGAGUUGCAAGUUUUCUUCUUCGUUAAAGAAGAAAUUCGACUUCGACAGAAGGCCUAUGGCACGCCGAGUGUCGACUAGGAGCAGCAUAGUGCAUCUUAGAGCUAUGAGAUCGGAGUUUAUAUUUCAUCACGUAAUCUUAUUUAUAUAAACAGUUCACUCAUCUUUCUCCUUAUAUGAUAUAGCAGUGCUCCUGCCCCUUUACGUUUAAAAAAAAUCAGUACCGCCGCCUCUGCCCACGCAAGACCCGGAUCCGUAUGGAUGACGGAAACAAUUGCAAUAGGUGACUAUAAAUAGCACAGGGCCAAUACAUACAUGGGCUAUAGGCACGAAAUUUCUCCAGACGCGCGCCCUGGCUACAAACUUCGCUAGGCGAGCCAUGGAAGGUCUCCGACGCGUUGGACACCCGUUCUUGGACUUCGCUUACGAGGGACUCCCUGCCCGCCACGACUCUAGGGUGAAAUUCGCGCUAGACUUCGUAGCAAUGCAGCUUGGCCUCGCGAUCUCUUGUAUCUAUGUGCUCGCGUCGGUGAUCUUUUGCUUGGUAAUGCACCAUAAUAUCAUGUACUCGGUGGAAGAUGCGUCGUCUGGACACUGCUAACAGGUGGAGGUCACCGGCAUCGAGGCAUCAGGUCUUCCGGGCCCGCAAGACACGACACCCUCGUCGCCGCUGCGCUUCAACCUCACUGCCCGCGUCGUCAACCGCAGAUCGGACACGCCGAUAUGCCUAAGAAACUGGCAGGUUGAUGUUUGGCACGCUGGAGUACCAUUUGGUAAGGCCUACUUCCCUGAUACGUGCUUGGAGGCCGGGAUGUCACAGACAGUAUUGAAGGCGUCUGCGUCGAACUCCGAGCUGCGAGGGCUGCACGGUGAAAUUCUUCAGCACCACAUGGCGAGCCGCACAUCACCUGGACACCUUAAUAAAGAACUGGUUGAGACGACACUCAACCAAUGUACAAAAUAGUAAGCUAUGAGAUUUAGCGUAGCGCUGUCCGCUAUAGUUCACUAUAGUGUCGCUAUAGCCCACUAAUUAGUACAACACUGUUGUAACGGUAGCUAGCAUCAACCGCUAUAGCCUGCUAUUUCAUACAUUGCACUCAACUACUUCAACGACCAUGAUCACAGAGGAAAGUUCGACCGGCUAUGGUGUCACGCAACAAUGGACAUGCAAUCGCCACAAUCUCCGUGUCGCAUUCACAAUUUAUGGCCUCUGGCAAAGUAGAGAGAAAUCUUCCUAGGUCAUGUGUUCGUUCUAUGUAUCAUUGGUAUACCAACGGGUCUACCAAUGGGAAUCAAGUAAUUAUAUUUAAUUUCUCCUAGCAAGAAAAAGAAGAGUACUAUAAAAAAUUUGUGAUAUAUACACAUGCCGAUAUGCGUGCGUAGCGCAACAGCGGUGCCAUGUAUACGAGACAUAUAUUCUUCAUCUUUAUUUCACUGGAAUCAGAUAUAUAAUAUAUUCUCCAUCUUUAUCCUUAAUAUGAUCCUGUAUUAAAUUAUGGGUUUCACAUAUAACAUAUUUGUCUUCUUUUUCUAAUCUGUGUUGCCCAUUCUCAUAUUAUUUUGUUGACGUGCACUUCCUUCGUUCUAAAUUAUAAUGCACUUUACCUUAUCAUAAAUGAAACUUAUUUAACUUCAACCAAGUUUAUAGAAAAAUAUCUACAACUUAAAAUUUAAUUUUAUUAAAUCUACCAUAAAAUAUAGUGCAUUUAUUUUGAAUUGUUGAUGUUAUUGUAUUUUUGUAUAAAGUUUAUCAAAAUUAGUCAAUUUUGACUUUAGGAUAAAACUAAAGUGAACUGAGAUAUUAACUUUUUGUGUACUUUGACAAGUAACAUAUGUUUCCUGUUUUUUUAAGAAAAAUAUCAAAUUUAUACCCUCCAACUAUGAUGAUGUAGUCUAAUUUUCAGACCUGUAUGACAUAAUCGGAAAAAAUUGGCCAGUGGUUAUGAAGGUAGUUUUCUAUUUUCUAAAAGUAAUAAGCAAUUGGUUUAAUAAAAUUCAUGACUAAUUUAUUUCAAAUUAGAAAAAUAUGAAACGUGUAUGUGUUUUUUCUCAAAAAAUUUAAUCUAUCUUUUGGUGGUAUAUUUUGUACUUAUUUUGGAACUUAUUUGUUACUUCACCCUAUUAUUUUAUUGCUAGCACUUGUGCCAAUUGCUUAUUUAAAUUAUUGUUUUUGCAUUGUAUAAAACCUAGAGAUGGACCAAGAGUUUAAGUGGACUGUAAGUGUACACAGAAGAUCUAGAAGACGAUACCAACCACACAAGUGCCAUGCUCCACUACAUAUAGAUCCUAUUAGGCAUUUCAUCACUACAACUUUACUUUAUGUGGUUACAUGAUUAGGCUAUAGGUUUUAAACAAGGCUGGGGAUCAAACAUCAAGUAAUCAACUAUUUGGAAAAUGACAAUUUAAGUAAAUAACAGACAUGACUAGACCAACAAGCAGUAAAACACAAGGAAUAUGAGGAAACAAGAUCAAAUAUAGGUACACUUUUAGAAAAAAAAGGUUGAUUCUAGUUUCAUAUUUUUAAAUUUGAAACAAAUUAGUUGUGAAUAUUUUAGAUUAAAAAAGUUCUUAUUAUUCCUAAAAAAUGGAAAACAUUUUUGAAACCACAUAAAGGACCAAAUUUGUAUGGGUUUAGUAGUUGGAUGGUGCUCGACGUGAUUUUGUGGUUUAGGGUUGAUUGAAAUAGUUGAUGGGUGUAAAUUGUGCAUAAUUAGAUUCCAUGAUGACCAUGAAUGUGCGUGCAGCAUGACGGUGAUGCCUCUUGCUAGGAGCACACCCACCCGAGUUUGAUUCCUAGCGGCAACGACUCUGGAUGUCCCACUGGGAUUUAUUUUCAAAUUUAAUUCUGCAAUUUCUGGACGUAAACGUGGAGUCAUAAUGGUAUUGUGACAUGCUCGUCACCUAUGAAGCGCUGCAUGAUUUCAUCGAUAACCAGAAGGAUGGGUGGUGGAUGUAUAGUUUGUAGGUUUAGCAUAUGUGAGUGUGUGUGGGUGUAUAUGUGUGUUUGUGCGUGCGUUCAGAUAUUAAAGUGGUACCUUAGUUGUCAUGGCUAAAAAAUUAGUCAAUUAUGGAUAGUGAGGUUGAAAGCCAUCACAAAGACAAUAGAAUUGCACAGUGAUGCGCCUGACGUGCCCAUCAUCUUCGCUUCACCAAGCUCUUGAUACCAAUUGUUGAUUUUGCUCAGAAUCACAAACGAAUUUGGAGAGAAAAGAAUUGAAGGAAAAACACACACAAUUCCAGAACUGCAACAGCUUAGCUCUUCCUCCUUUUCUUUUCCUACGUCCUCAAAAUACUGAUGCUUUGCUCUGCUUUUAUAGUCCAAACAGAAGCAUAGCACUUGUACUUGGAAUACAACUCUACCUUGAUCGUGCGGACAUACAAGGCUCGAGGCCAUCUCAUCUAUGGUCUGAACUUCCUUGUUUGCACAUCUACUUCCUAAACUAGUAUAUGGCAAUAGACUCUAAAUCGGACUUGAUUUGAGUCCUUGCUUCUGACGUGCAUGUUUUUCAUACAGAUACAUGCAUGACCAGUCCUACAAGGACUCAAAUACAUAAUGCUUGACUACAAGUACGUUUAAUCUACUUGCCUACUUUAAUAAUAAACUUGAACCAUGCCUAAAUAUACAAAAAACGAGAUUAAACCCCACAUUCUAAAGAAAGAAAGUGGCCUCGGACAACCUACUUAGGCAAACCAUGGGCACUCAUAUGGCGCAAAUGCUCCAUAAUAAGGAUCUAAUCCACAUGGACAUCGCCAACAAUAACCUCUUUUUUUCGACUCAAUCUAAUGUAAGCAUCAAAGAUCAGGCAGGGAUGAAGAAAGUGGUGAAGAAGUAGGGUGUCAUGUUGUUGUUCUAUUGCUUGAUGCUAACUUGUUCCUCCUCUUGUUACUAAGUUUCUCCAUAUACUUGCUCUUUGUCUUCAUGUUAGGAUAAAUAUUUUAUUCGUUGAUGAUUCUGGUGAAGAAGAAUAGGAUGCUAGUGGAGAAAAGGAGGUAGUUAAAAAACAUUUUUUUUUCUUUAGCAACGGAAAAUGUAGAGCCAUCCUACAUGAUCAAUUGAUUGGAUCUUGGUUGAAGGGUGAACAUCGAUGUAUAGAAUAUUUAUGGUCCCAAGUCAAUAGGUUACUACUUUUCUACUAUGCUUUGGGAAAUUUGUUUGCUUGUCAGCUGCAGUACAUGUUAGGCUCUAGCUUUGGAUGUUGGAUAUUCAUCUAUACGAUGUUGUUGUUUAGACCCGCAACCUAUCGAAUGUAUCCCAAGAAAGUAGAUUGGUUAGAUGGGUUUGUUGAGAUCAGCAACUCGAUGGUGAAGGCGAGACACGAUUUAGAUAGGUUCAUUGAAUAUUGUAAUACCCUACGCCAUGUGUGGUGUAUUGCCUUGCAUUGGGAAUUGGGAUUGAUUGAUUCUUUAGGGUCCCUGCCUAGCCUUAUAUCCGAGGACUAUGUUACAAGUCAUUUGUACACAAAUCCUAGUUGGCUAAGACGGGCGAAGUCCUAAUCUUAUACAAAGGAGUACUUUUCAUUUAUCAGACUAGUUUUAUUCUUAGUAUGGUUGACUACGUCAUCCUGCACCGUAGUCUCGAUCCGAGCAUGUGGGUUGUCCUAUCUCCAUUCUGAAGUUGUCCAUGCCACGCAGUAGGUUGAUGGAUCUCAGUUCGUCACAUGAUGAGGUGCAAUUUCCUAGAUCAUUAUUCGUAUGAUUGAAAAGAUUUUUUUAAAAAAAUGCAUCCUGAGGGGUUUAGAAUGGCUUGGGUUCCGUUUAUAAAGGAUAGCAUAAACAGUAUGCACAUUUUUAUCCUCUAGGGAGAGGGAUCGUGGCACAUGUAAUUCUCUCACUAUAUGUUUGUGCUUUGAUACCUAUAUUUGAUUUUGGUUCUUGAAGUCAAGUCCAUGCAUGAUUAUGGUGGUGUGAAUUAAAUACCCUAUUAUGAAUUUGAAAUUUAAAUUAAUAUGCAUUGUGUAAAGAAUAUUUUAGCCAAAUUUAUAUAGGCUGCUCACAACUUUAAGAUUAUCGUAUUAAUUUAUGUAGCCUUCGCAUUGUUUAUAGGAUAAUGGUACAUAAGAACUUAUAAAAUUUAGAUCAUUAAUAGGACUGUGACCUAGUGUCAAAUAUAUUCUUUUAAAAAGAAUUUAUAGACCAUGAAUAUGUUAAUUUAGGAUUUUAAAAAAUUAUUAGAUAUUUUGUUGGUCAGAUUAUAUUUGAAUACUUUGAUAUUAAUCAUACAUGUUUUCAUGUUGUAGCAAAUAUUUCAUAAAUCUAUCUAAAGGUGAAGUACAUACUAAAUGUUUGGACAUCUACAUGGAGUACAAUUAUAGUUCUACUUAUUUUGUCUCUAAAGGUAAGACACAUGUUGACACAUGUCCAAAGCACAAUAUACCUUACCAUGUUUUGCCAAGAAGUGAAUGCCUCACCAUUUAUAUAGAAGCAAAUCAGUGGUUGCAUGAACAAAAUCAAAUCUUUGUAACACUCUUUCUAUUACUAGAUUCAUAAGAAUUAUCAAUUAUUUCACUAUAACAAUUCACUUGUUUUAGUCAAUUUUGAAGAUCAAAACUUUAUUUGGAUGAUAUUUUUUAACAUCAAGUGCACACAUUUAUUGGACAUUUACUUACUUUUUAGAUGCCUUGGUUAUUGUUACACAACUUCUUCUACAUAUCUUGAGUUUAGAGUUAACAAUUAGAUUGUAUGUUGUUAACUUAGGUAUAUAUGUAGGCCAACUGUUUGUUAGCUCAACCCGAACAUGAGAUUUUUUGUUAUUUCAUAGAAAAAUUAUUAAUUUCUAUAUUGGUUAUCCAGUAGCAAACAUAAUAUAUUAUGCCUCUUGGGCUAUGUAUGGUUGUUUUCUCAAUCUUUCUAUGAACAAACAGGGCAAGCAUAUUUCAAACACUUACUCUCUCAAUUUUUCUAUGGACAAAUGGAAAAACGAUGCAUUGCUUUUAUAAAUUAAAAGUCUAUACUUACAAAUGAUACUAUCAACAUAUUUGAUGAUAAAAUGCAUUGUUAACUCAUGGGAUUUGUUACUAUUUCCUUCAAGUUUUGCAUCAUGAAUAUAAACAUGACCGAUACUAUUAUUGUUAUUGUAAUACUUACCAAUUUGCCAUGAGUGGUAUUUUCACACCAAGCACGCUACUUGUAUAUGGGGUCACUCUUAUAAUUUGUUCAAUAGCAAUUGUUAUGGUACUCCAAAAUGAGUAUGGGAUAGACGAAUAUAACUAUUAUAAUUGUCACGCUAAUAGAUGAAUAUAACUAUUAUAAUUGUCACGCUAAUAGAUGAAUAUAACUAUUAUAUUAAAUUUAUUUUUUUUGGAAAAUAGGAUAAAUAAGGGAAAAAUUACUAGGUAGACCUAACUUUCCUAGAUGGCCUAUUAGAUCUAACUUCUUGCAUGAUGUAUUGUGAUAGGUGCGUUAAGUGACAACUAAUGUAUCUUUUUUUUUUGCUAGUGUGUUAAAAAGAAUAACAUGACCUAUCAUGAAGUGUGUGACAAACUUGAAAGAAAACAUGUAUUAAUCAUGUUUCAUGGGAUAUUUUGCAUGCGACAAACCAUAGCUGAAAAUGUGCCUUCAAACCAUGGUGAGUUCUCCACAUGUGAUACCUCUGUUAAUGGUCAAGAUGUGACAUGCAACAUGUUAGGUCCAUAUGUAUUUUACCAAGUGCAUAACUACAAAAGUGAGUAACGAUAUAUAUUUCGUUCAUUCAAGACUUUGUUUGGAGUAAACUGCAUUACUAUAAAAGUAACACACAACUUGCAUAGCAGGUUCACACAGGUCAUAUAGUUUGUGUCACACCCGGGUUUAUAAACACAACCAAAUGUUCACUUUAUGUAUGUCAUGAUCAUAUUACAUACAUAAAGUUUGAGUACAUCAUCUGAUAUACAUUGCCAUAUCAUGUUAAAACAUCACAAAAUGACCUAGCGGUCCAAAAGAAAAGUACAAUUAUUGCUUGUUAUCUUGUGCAGAAGCAGGCUCCAUGACCACAGACAAUCAACCGGGGGUUCACACUCCUAGAUCUUCAUGGCCUUCAUCACUUGAGCAGCAUUUAUGGAGGGAGAGAGAGAGAGAGAAUAGUAGAGGUUGAAGGGGAAAAGUGUGGGAGGUAAGGAAAUGAAGGUUUAGAUCAAGAACUAGCUGCAAUUUGCAAGCACAAGUUUUAGUCGGUCAUAUUUUAUUAAACUACAUACUUACUAUGAUGAGAGUCUGCAACCCAAACCCAACUUCAAGGUGAAACAUCUAUCAUCUAGAGCCAAACAACCCAUCCAAACCAACCAUACCACCAACUAACCAUGUGAGGGUCCAAGCUACUCUUGUUGAGCAUGUGGCGGUUAUAACCGUUUUACACUCUGCAGAGGGGGUACAUCUUUACUCACGAGUUGUGCUACCCGUUCAUGCCUGGGGUUGCAAGCCUCUUCACACAUUGCCAAGAUGUGUGGGCUUGGUACACUAUGAGGCAAUUACAUAGGUUCCCCAACACUUAUUCACCAGACUCCAAGUGCACAACCCAUCAUUGAGCCUUGCUGGACUCUUGGGAACUCGGCUCUUAUCUAGCCCAAACAGUCCACUAGGUUGCCCUACUUAAUUAGCUAAGACCAUAGCCCAUUUAGUUCUCGUGGUUGUGCAUGUCCUUGAAAUGGCUCAAGCAAGAUGAGCAUCAACCCAAAACACCAUCCACCAGACAAAUACUUGCUCGAGUCCCUAGGCUUCCAUGUUUCUAAAAGAUUACCAACCCAUGUGAUUACAUAGUUGAUUAUUCAUUAUUAAAAUUAAACCCAACCCAGGUGUAGAGCACAACUAAGCAAGUCACUACCUAAAAACCAUAACACUCUCUAUGGGCUUCAAGGAAGUCACAAACAAAUCUAGUAACCCAACAUAGGAUUCCCAUAGUAACUCAAUGCGUGAAUAAAGCAUAAAUAGAAAGUGAUAUUAUUGUAAAUGCAAGUAAACAGGGAGUAUGCAUCAAGGACACUUGCCUUCGUCAUGCUUUUGCUGGAUCUUCACGUGCACUCGAUCUUUUCUCGAACAGCUACUUGCAGCAACUAUCGGAAACAAGCAUACAUACAAAAGUAUAAGAAUAGUACACUUGAAGGGACCGUGACACCCUAAGAGGAGGGGGUUGAAUUGGGUGUUCUAAAAACUAAGACUCCAAGCACAUAUAAAAACCUAUAUCAACUUCUAUCUAGAUGUGCACUAGGUUUUUCUAUGUGUUGCUAUAUCUACCGUAAAAGAGUUUUGCACCCUAGGUUCCAAUCCUAUAAACUACACAUGGCAAUUCUAGGAAAGGUAAACGCGGAAUUGUAAGUGCAAUAAGAAAAGUGAAAGGUAAAUGAGGUAGAGAAGGCAAACUCCUGGCGUGGCGACACAGCAAUUUUUUCCGAGGUAUCGGAAAGUAAAGCUUUCCACUAGUCCUCGUUGUUGCAGCCCCUCUCAAAGGGAAUGCCCGUGCAAGGGCAUAAACUCCCCGGUCAAGUAACUCCGUAUGAUAGCCGACGGGCCUUCCCCACGCGUAAGUGGGUCUCCGCCUAGCCUCUCCCAGAUGCUCCUUGCAGCUCUUCACUUGGUAGAGCUUUGGCAAAACGCCAAGGGCCUCUCCUCCCUCUCAAAAGCACCGGCUGCCACUCCACAAACGCGGUUGGAGGGUCUUGAGAGACUUACAAGCUUCGGAUUUACAACUCUUGGUGCGCGCAAGCACCGAUACAAAGGAGGUGUGCAAACUUGGCCUAACUCUAGGCUAAACCCUAAAUCAAUGCGCUAAUAGGUCUAAACUAGCACUAACCAAGACCUAAGCCUUACAAUAAUUGUCUUAAUUUUCUCUUUAGCACUUUGGUAUAGAGCACUUGUGUUCAUGUGAGAACCAAGCCUAUAGUUUCUCCAAGCUCUAACAUACCUCAAAUGGCCGAGCAAUGGGGUAUAUAUAGCCCCAACUCCAAGAACUAGCCGUUACAUAGCCAUUGUAACUUUCUGUGUAUCACCGCCUCAUUUGCUACCCUUGUCACUGUAGCCACCAUAUGAAUCGGUGAGGUCCAAUUAUACUCCAAAACUUCUAGAGCCGAUUUAUAGCCGGUUUGAGUCGAGCCGACGAUCACCGACUUAUUCAGUGACGGUUACUGUUACCAGAGUAUGAAUAGGCGGUAACAAUGCACGCGCCUACCUUUGCCCUGCCUGUGGUCACCGACUGAAUCGGUGACGGUUACUGUUCCUAGAGUAUGAAUCGGUGGUAACAGUGCAUGCCCUACCUUGACCCUGCCUAUGGUCACCAACUGAAUUGGUGAUGGUUACUGUUACCAUAGUAUGAAUCGGUAGUAACAGUGCACGCGCAUACCUUGGCCCUGCCUGUGGUCACCGACUGAAUCGGUGAUGGUUACUGUUACCAGAGUAUGAAUCGGUGGAAUAUGUCGAUGCAUAUUUGUAGCAGGAUUCGCUUCAAAUCUUCGCGUGUCUUUGUCCAUUCUUCAUUAUCAUCAUUUGUAAGCCUUAGAAUAAGACUAAAACUAGAUUUUUACUAUCAUUUGGAUGCCAUAAAUUUCUUCUAAGUCUUUCUUUUUCUUCUCAUUUUGAUGGUUUUGUAAUUCAUCCUUGGGACUUAUAAAACAUAUGUCAGGCAUACAUCCAUGGGUCCACCAGAAGGUUAGUAUGAAUCCACAUGUGGAGAAGUACACCGAGAUGUAUCAAGACAUGGAGACUACGGUACGGGGGUGGCGUGGUCUAUAUGGAAGUCCAAGGGACUGGUCGAGGAUAAGGAAACUACUCUUCCUAGUUGAAGUAGUAAUCGGUAGUCAGAUCCGACUAGUACUCUUGUAAAACAACUACCCUGUAACCCUGGUCCCCCAAUAUAUAAGGGCAGGCAGGGACCCCCCUCAAGAGAAGUUCAAUCCAAUACAAGCAAACACCAUACAGGACAUAGGUAUUACGCAAUCUAGCAGCCCGAACCUGUCUAAAUCGCGUGCCUAGGUACUCCAUCGAGCUCCUAAUUUCGACGACACCCACCAACCAAAACUCUACCUCGGGUAAUCCCUUAGUAGGUUGCCGGGUUUAAACACCGACAACGUACAUCUUGCAAACACAUUAGUCCCAAUGACUAUAUUGUCAUCAAUCACCAAAAUCAUAAUGGGCUAGAGCCAUUUUCCUUACAACACUAAAUAGUGACAAAAUAGUAUUGAAAGAAUUUUAAAAGAAUGGUCUCAUCGAUACAAACUCGUGAGCGCAUGAGUCACUUAAAUCGGAAUCACGAGUAAAAACUAAAAAGUACUAAUAGUUUUACUAACCAAGAAAUAAAAUGUAAAAUAUAACAUUUCUAGAAUUAUUUUUAUACUGGAAAAUGGUAUUAAUGACAUCAACAUGGGUGGUUUAUGACAUCAGCAAAGAUUUAUGGAAAAGUUUAGUAUAUUUAUUGGAAUUUUGGUAAGUUUAUCUGGUAAUGAUGUCAGCAUAACGUCAGCAUGAACUUUGAUGUAAAUAAAGUAUUUAGAAUCGGUUUUAUUGCAAGUUUUACAAGAUACGAAGAACGGUUGACUAAUUAAUUACUAGGUUUCUCACGGGCUAGAAUGUAAGAUAGCCUGGCCAAAUAUGUUGACUUCAGUCAAGGAUCAAUCUCGGUUCUAGGAUCUGGUUUGGGCGACUGGAUUUUAAAAAACAAGGGGGGAUGGUGGGAUUUAAUCAGGGCCGUGCACGCGGGGUGAUGGACGACAAUGAUGCGCCGCCAGUUUAUGGUCACUGGUGCCGCCUGGAAUUGAAGCACCAGUUCAUUGGACUAGCUCGAUGCUAGCGCUACGGUGCAUGGGAAACGACAGGGAGUAGCACAAUAGGGAGAGGAGCGAAUGGCGAGCUCACCAUGGGUCGGAGAUUGGGUAGAGGCACGGCGUAGAUGUCGUGUAGCGGAUGGAGGUGGAGCGGUUUGGUGGCAUGGGGUGACGACGUGCCUGUGGCCUCGAGUGGCAGACGUCGAGUAGCGAGGUGUUCCUAUGAUAGCAUGGAAAGGAUGAAGGGUGAGAUCCGGACAUCGCACGGUGAAUUACGGUGGCGGAGCCUUCAUCUUACCCGAGGCGGAUGGAAUGGAUUCAGCGGGCGGGUGCGAGAGGCGAGCGUGGCGGCGUGGGUUGGCAAAAAGGGAGGUCGAGGAGGCUCGCAUGGUUUUAUAGGGAGGAAGUGCUAAAAAUAUAGUCUAAAAAUUUAUUUUUGGACCUUGCCAAAAAUUAUUGGGCGACAAUUCCAAGAAAGCUGGUUCCAAAACAAAUCAAAUUGCUACCACACCAUAUUGUUGUGGGCCCCUACUAUUGUUUUUUUUUCACGUCAAUAGAAUGCCGCUUCUUUCUUUCUUUUUUCUUCUCACCACGUUGUUGCCAAGCAAGACCGUCAUGGCCAUUGCUUAGCGCGGUGGACAAAAGCAAGCCGGCCAAAGAAAUUUGGGGGGCGAAUUCUUGAUCUGGACAUCUUUAACCGAGCUUUGAGACUGAGGUGGCUCUAGCUGGAGUGGAUUGACCCAGAUAAACCUCGGGUUGGCUCUGAGGUACCCUGUAUUGCGGUGGAUCGGCAACUGUUCAGGGUAAGCACUGUGGUUACAACUAGGGAUGGAAACGAGGUUUCGUUUUGGCAGUCAUCUUGGUUGAGAGGUCGUGCGCCGAUGGACAUUGCACCUAGACUAUAUAAGUUGGCCUGGCCUGGCGUAAGAACAUGGAGGUGAGGGAGGAGUUACCAAAUCAUUAUUGGACGAGAGGUUUAUGGUGCAUGAACACAGUUGAGGAGAUGGUGGAAUUUGUUGUCCUGUAGGAUAUGGUUCAGGAUGUGGUUUUCUUUGGUAGGCCAGAUGAAAUUUUGUUUGGCGCUGGACUGCUGUGGAGCUUCUCUCUCCUGCUCAGCAUACAUGGCACAGUUAUCUGAUUCAUACAGUACAUUUAGUGGAAGUUCACAAAUUCUUUGCAUGGCUGCUGGUGCAAAGUAAGAUAUACUUACUGCUGACAAGCUGGUCGUAAGAAAUUGGCCCUGCAACACAACUUGCUGUUUAUGUGAUCAGGAAGAAGAGACAGCACAGCGCACCUUUGCCUGCAUUAUGUGUUCACGCGUGAGAUUUGGGUGCACAUGAACUCCUGGUGCUGGAGUAUGGAAUGUCGAUCGAGGAUUGGUGGCAGCGAUCUCUCAGCCCAUACUCAAAGAUUCAGAGAAGGAAUGUAGCAGCUCUGCUCAUGUACACUUCUUGGAAAAUAUGGAAGUAAAGAAACCGGCGCACCUUUGAUGGAAGAAUGGUGAAUGCAAUGCAGGUGUUCUGGUUCAUCGAAGAAGAGAUCGCUGUGAGACAGCAAGCUGUCGGAGGGCCAACUGUAUCAUAGGAGUAGUUUUUAGUUACUUUCUGUUAGUUUAUUUUCAGCUGAUGAGAGUGUUCAAUCAUUUAUGUAAUAAGCCCCAUAUAAGACAUGUUAUGCUUCCUCUUCUAAAAUUAAUCGGCUAUACGUACUAGACUACUCUCGAGUGCCGUAUAGAUUUCGCGUAUACAAUGAUACUACAUAUAGCAUACUAAACCCUCCUAUUUAGCACAUCUCUUUCGGGAUAUGUAAUUCGUCUUGUCCACUAAACUGUGAAUACGGCACGGUGAAGGUGGAGAUUGCACAUCCAUUACUGCCGCGUUGCACCAGAGCCAGUGGAAUACUGGAGAGCUGUACGAUACGUUACGGCGCCCCUUAGACUCCACGUACAUGUGCGUCAUCUCGAUCUGUAGCUUAGGGUCUCCGUGUGAUUUCUGCCCUGCCAUGCGGCGUUGAACUUCACCUGUCAACCCGAUCAGCUCGCUGCGCGACGUGGACGCCUUCACCGACGCGUUCGACAUCUUCUCCAAGCAGGUGUCAGGGAAGUAGGCCGUAAUCCAUACAGGCAUAUCCUUGUUUUCCAGUGCCGGCCGGUUCGUGACGCGAGCGGUGAGGUUGAAGGUUGGUGGCGGCGGCGGCGGCGGCGGGGCCGUCGAGUCUUGCGGGCUGAUCAGGAAACCUGAUGCCUCGACGCCGGUGAUCUCCGCCUGGUAGUAUCCGAGUGCAUCUUCCGCCGUCCAGUAGGCGAAGCCGUAUGCUGCGUGGCAACAGAGCAGCAACCCGAGCAGAACGAUGCCAAUCAGCGCGAACCCCAGCAGAAUUGCUACGAAGUCCAGCACGCGUUUGCCUAUCUCGUCUCGUAAGCAGCGUCCAAACCCAGCCGCCGCCUGACGCGCAGGGGAUGUUCGUUGGCUCGGCGAGCCAGGGACGGCGUGGAGCGUUGAGCCAGUAGAGGCUCCAUACUAACACAUCUUACAUUUUGGAACAUGAGAGUACUUUAUGAUGUUCCCUGCUUAAAUGGGAAAGAAACUUUUUUUUUUGCGUUACAUGUGAAGCAACACUGCUAUUCUGUUAUGUGAUGGCAAAGAUAUUUCAGUGACAAAAUUGUGAAGGAAGGCAAUGUUGCUAUGAGGGCCCAAACCUGGCCGGCCGGUAGCUCACGAUCACAUCGAUGCUCACUCUCUAAUCUCUGUUCUUGGCCGUAUAUAAAUAGAGACUGGAUUCUUUCUAAUUAUGUGUGUAUAUGUGCGUUUGGUUGCAGAUCAAGAUGGAAUAGUGUGCCACACAACACAACUAAUCGGAGUGAGAUACCGGAGGAAACUAAAUAGUUCGAUGGAGAUGCAUGCUGCCGCUGGCCACACUACCCUUGUUCGCUCAUCUUGUUAACCACAGCACAAAUGUGAGCUAGGCCUGCAUGAUAUUAUACUAAGAGAGCGACUGCUCGUUUCCCCCUUUGUGUAGAUUGGCAGGUUAAUGCUUGCUACUGCUAGAGUCAUUGUGUUAUCUCUAGAUGUCUGGUUGUACAUGGAAGAGACAGCGGGCCAAGGAGUAGAGACGCUUGCUUAUCGCAUCCUUUCUGGCAUGGCUUGCACAUGAUCCAGGGCCAGGAUCCGGUGUCGACAAGGACGGAGUGUAUACAGACAGGUGUUACGUAUGUAGCUAAAGUAGACCCAUGGAGCACUAUUGGCGAUGAUCUCCCUGGAAACGUUCACUUCAUCCAAGGGAUCCGAGAUGCUACUGGCGAGAUGAAUGGAACGUGACAGCAGUCCAGCACCGACGGGCGCGCGCGGCGCGACGGAGAAGUGCAAGGCAUAAUAUAGCAUAAUGUAUCACUCUGAAUUCUCCCACUUGUUUGAAGAACAGAAGAUGAGCACCGAGAUUAUACAGAAAAGAAAAUAGAAGAGUUUUUUUAUAAAUGGGGAGAGCUGCCCGAUUAUAUUAAAAAAAGAAGGAGUUGCAAACCGUAUGAAAAGAUAGUAUGAAAAGGAAAGAAAAACAAAACAGACUCGUCUGGUUGGAUUGAGAUAUCAACGCGAGUAGUCACUCAACUCAAAACUGCCAUACUCGACCGGUUAGAUUGGGACAUCAACGUGACCUCACCACUCCACUCACCACGACGGCACCCACCAACAACCACGCUCAUGUAUUCGCCGAAACCUCCGGGCGUGACCCUGCGUGACAGGAUUGAUAGAAAUAGACUGCACCGCACCGAGAAGGCCACCGCCAUGCGGGACCCUCCGUUGUAGUGCCGCUGCAACGCCACACUCCACCUGACAGAGUGAUGCCACCGAAUCCAGACCUCUCGCAGGCUGCCUCACAGUCGCCACUGCGAUAACAUAACGCGUGGGGGCCUCUCCAUAUCCAUUGUUGGACUCCAUCUCACUCCCAUCGCCUCUAAGAAACACCACGCGCAGGGCCUUGCCACGCCCACCACAGUACUCCACAUCGCGGAUUCGUUUCUUUUAUCGCUGUCAGAGUGGUGAGCAAUGUUGCCCGCUCCACAAUAUUUGCGUCGAUCAGCCAAACCGCCACCGUAGGUCGACUUCGCCUCGUUGCUUCACCCGCGCAAAAGCAUCCACCACCAUGUCAGUAAGCCAGAGAAGUCACUUGCGCUGUCUUCCGACGAUGUACCGUACCGGGUAGCCCAGCCAAGCUGAGCAACCCGCCGCGGUCCGCUACAAGCUUAGUUGUCCCACGAUGCCGUUGCCGCAAGCGCCGUUCUCCGACGCAGUCCCAUGCCGCACUGACCGUUGCCAAGCAACACCAGCCGCGCGGCCCGCUGCAAGCGACCAAGACCGACAAUCAUGCGACAACCCCUAGCCGCCACCAUAACUGCGAUCGCCUCCACGUGGCCUCAGCAACAUCCGUCCAGCUUGCCACGCGGCGAAAUUAUCGCCACCGGCUGCGGCCGUCCAUGACUAAUGGGCCAGCAAUGCCACAGAUAGAUAUGGAUCUCUAGAGACGACGCCUUCAAGGAGGGUACGAUGUCAAUGGUGCCGCCGUCGUAGAAUUGGAUAAAAUUUUCACUCAAAGGACCCCGUGCAGCAAGGUUGUAGCUCAGGCAUGAUGCCCUCAACGCGAAGAACGACGUCCUAUGGCAUACUCGAUGUUCGCCAACGAGCCACAGAAUCCCCAUGUGAUUACACGCAAAAUAGUGUAAGCAGUUCUCUUUCUUUCAGUAGAGUAAGCAGAGUGCGAAAUUUCUUAGCGAUUAUUCUCGCGUGUGAUGCAGCAAGCCCAAUCGGCUUAGUGAAACUUCUACCGUCUCGGCGCCGGCCUUCAACCUCACCAUCCACGAUUCCACGCCCAUAGCAAGCAGCACCUCCGGCGAAUCUGCUGGGGCGACAUGACCUUAAUCGUGUACUACAACGAGACGAUGGAGCACGCUGCUUGCAUUCUGCGUGGACAGGUGGUCGGCCGUCGACCUGAACGUGACCCUGCAUGUUUCUGGGCCUGUUCGCUUCAGCUUAUUCAGCCGGCUUAUCAGCCACCAAACAGUGUUUUUCUCUCACAACAAAUCAGCCGUUUCAACUUUUCAGCUGGCUUAUAAGCUGAAGCGAACAGGCCAGACGCUGCGCGAGAAGAUGGAGCGCGACCGACAGGGUUCUUCAUCUCGUCCAGCAAGAAUUUCGUGUUCGGAUCCAUGGCACCGAGUUUCUUUUGGAAUGAGGUAAAGUGGUGGUGGGAAUCCAGCACGGGUUCCAGGAUCUAGUCUAUCAUACGAGAUUUGAAGCAGCAGGCUUUAGAAUUCGAAGGAAUCGGGGAACAGAGGACAGCGAAAACUGGAGAAGAACAGAGGUGACAGGCUUAGGAGGCUCUCUCAAGUCUCAACUCACCCCCAUACUCAUUAGUCGUUACAUAGUGGGCUGGGCCCAUUGUGAGCCGGACACACGGACAUUGGGCUUCAUGGGCCGUUGGCUGACAGAUCAUCAUGUUCAAUUCUUCACAAUUCAGUUCCACUGCCGCUUCAUUCUCUGUUUCUCUUCAGGAUGCAAACAGAUAGCAGGGCUGCCAGACAGUGUCCCACUCUACGCAUGGGAUGGCAUAUAGUGAUGUGGAAGAAGACAAAGGCAGAUAUGUAUUGAAUUGUCACUUGAGAUAUGCAUAUAUUUUCCGGUCAUAGAAAAAUGAUGAUGCAUUCUAUGGCUAUUGUACAUGAGGAAACAUUAAUAGGCAAUGCAUCUUGCUGUAAAACUAGUAGCUGUACAAUGCUCAAAGUUGCCCACAGUGCACGCUUUGCCGCAACAAAUAUUUGACAAAUUGACUCGUGAGCAUGAAUCUGUUCAAACUUUGUACUCAUCCAUUCCAAAUUGUAAAUCAUUCCAAAAAUCUUGAAGAGUCAAAGUAUCUCAAGUUUGACCAAAUUUAUAUGAUAAUAUAAUAACAUUAAUGAUGUCAUCUAAAUAUCAUUAGAUUCUUCAUCAAUUAUAUUUUCAUGGUAUACCUAUUUGAUGUCAUAAAUCUUUAAAAUUUUCUCUAUAAUUUUGGUCAAACUUGAGAUGCUUUAACUCUCUAAGAUUCUUGGAAUGACUUACAAUUUGGGAUGGAGGGAGUAAGUUGUAACCUUGAUUCCUGAUAUGUGUUGUUGAUCAAGCAUCUUCGUCACCGUCUCCUCCAGCUUUGUUCCCGGUUUGCCGCCGGCCAGCGCCCCAACGACCGAGCAGCCCUCGGUAGUCGACGUCUCGGAGGCGCAGCAGCAAGUACAAAACAAUUCCCGAGAUGAACCCCAGUGCGGCGCUCGAGCCCGUGAGCGACACGCCGGCGCAGAUGAGCAUGACGAAGGACUCCUCCUUCGUGCCCAUGUCGCGCGACGCCAUGGCGAGCUCGACCCCAGAGAAGAGCAGCAUGACGCCCAGUAUCCCGAUGGGGAACUGCCCGAGGAUCGUCACGAACGAGUUGCCGAACACGAGGCCGAGCGCCAGCUUGCCGAUGGCCAGGAACACCACGGACGCUCCGCUCCGGCCGCCGAAACGGUACUGCCCCGCCAGUCCGCCCGCGCCGUGGCAGCACGGCAUGGCGCCGAACCAGCAGCCGACGAAGUUCAUGAGGCCGACGCUCACCGACACCCUCGCCGGGGAGAGCUCGGCCCGUUCGGGGAACAGGUCCGACGAGAGCUUGCACACGGCGAUCACCGAGUUCAGCACGGACAGCGGGAGCUGCGGCACCGCGCCUUCCCAGAACCCGAUCUUGAAAUCGUCCCAGGUGAUCUUGACGAUCCGCAGCGGCGCCGGCCCAAAACGAAGGCCCUGCACAAUCGACGGGUCACGCACGAAGCAGAGCAGCAGGCCGAGCGCGAACACGAUGAGCGCCGCCGGGACGCGGCUGCAGGAGCGGCGGCGGCGAAUCGUGCCGUCGCUGGAGACUUCCUCGUCGUCGCCGGAGCCGGUGGCGAGGAUGAUGAACAGCAGCGCCGCGAGCGCGAGGACCAGGCCGUCGAGGCCGAGGAGCGGGCGCGCCACGGCGGUGGAGGCAGAGGACGAGUGGGAGAAGUCCUGGACGUAGCGUAUGUACUUGACGGCGGUGAAGGCGAAGGAGAGCCCCUGCGAGAGCUGGAUGCCGCGCACGACGGGGAGCGGGAGGAGGCGGUAGAGGCAGGUCAUGAGGCCCGUAGCGCCGAGGAAGAGCAGGACGGCGGCGACCGACAGCCCCGCGGACAUGAUCUGCGGGAUGGUGAGGUGCGCCGAGGAGAGCGCAACAGCGGCGAUGGACUUCAUGGGCUGCACGGGCAUCGGGAUGCCGAAGAGCAGGCCCGUGGAGAAGUUGUAGAGCGCGGUGAAGAUGAGCGUGGUGCCGAGGUCGAGGUGCGACGCCAGCGACAGCGCGAGCACGAUGGGGAUGUAGGUGCCCAGGUCGCCCACCGCGCCGCCCAGCUCGGACCAGACGGAGGUCUUGAGAUGGACGGAGGAGGGGAGGAACCCGAGGCGGCGUCCGCUGCCCUCGGGGGGGAGGAGCGGGUCGCCGGCGGCGGACGCCAUGGGGGUGGGCGAGCGGCAACGACUUUCUCUGGAUGUUUUCUGGUGGAUUUGGGCUUACCUUGCACGUUUCUGACGGGAGAUGUCCCGGUGGCUCCACUGAGCUGAUAAAUAUAUGCGCGGGUGCUGUUUCCAUCGAGAAUUUAACACGAAGAUGCGAUCUAUAUGCUUUUUUUCAUACGAGGGUUUAAAUUUUAGCAUAUUUAUAUCGGAUGUUCGGAUGCUAAUUAGGAGUAUUAAACAUAGUCUAAUUACAAAAAUAAUUGCACAGAUGGAGUCUAAGGGGCGUUUGCUUCCACUGACUUAUUUUUAGCACGUGUCACAUCGAAUGUUUAGAUACUAAUUAGGAGUAUUAAACGUAGACUAUUUAGAAAACCCAUUACAUAAGUGGAGGCUAAACGGCGAGACGAAUCUAUUAAGCCUAAUUAAUCCAUCAUUAGCAAAUGUUUACUGUAGCAACACAUUGUCAAAUGAUAGACUAAUUAGGCUUAAUAGAUUCGUCUCGCCGUUUAGCCUCCACUUAUGUAAUGGGUUUUGUAAAUAGUCUACGUUUAAUACUCCUAAUUAGUAUCUAAACAUUCGAUGUGACGGAUGCUAAAAAUAAGUCAGUGGAAGCAAACGGGCCCUAAUUCGCGAGACGAAUCUAUUAAGGCUAAUUAAUCCAUCAUUAGCAAAUGAUUAUUGUAGCACCACAUUGUCAAAUCAUGAGCUAAUUAGGCUUAAUAGAUUCGCCUCGCGAAUUAGACUCUAUCUGUGCAAUUAGUUUUAUAAUUAGACUAUGUUUAAUACUCCUAAUUAGUAUCAAACAUCCAAUGUAACAGGUGCUAAAGUUUAACACAAACACCCCUUUAAUAUCAUGAUGGUGAUGUGCUUGGCACUACGGAGUAGUAUGUUAAAUAAUUGGAGCUUUCAUUCUGUUUUUAGAAUGUAGUCCGAAUUGGUUCAUGUAUGGGAUUUCAGUUGAACUCUUGAAGGGUGAAGGAUAGAUAGUUAUACUUAAAAAAGAUGAAAGCCAGAAUCAUCAAGAUCAUAUUAGCUGUUUGUUUUGAAAGUAUUUUCAUUGCCAUUAACACAUAUCUUAAGCCAUUUCCAGUCCUUGGUGUUUGAUUUGAAAUGUACAAUCCUUAAUUUUGAUGCAGUGUUCAACAGACUAGAAACAAUUUUAUGAGAACCUUUUCUGAAAUGCACGAUCCCUAUUUUUUAUGUGCAUUUCCAAAUUUGAAUUCUUUUGUGUUAUUUUAAGUAACUUUUGGGACGGUGCAAUAUUUUCUGUUGGGAGUCUAUUUAGCUGUCGACAGAUUUUUAGAGUAAAAUCUGUCAAAUUUUAUUAUGUUGCAAUGUUAUUUUCUAAUAUGAUUGAAACAUGAAGUACUAUGCAACAUGCCAGAACAUAGUAAAUAGCAUAUGUAACAUUAGGAAAAUCUGCCACAUUUCCUCCCCUGAAAUCACGAAAUAUUUUAAAAUAUUAAAGAAUAAUGUUUGCAAUAUCAGAUUUGAAUGUCAGAAAAUUCGACAGAUUUUCUUCUAAAAAUCUGCUUCCGGACCCAUGGUGAACAACUGAAGUUGCGCCCAACUGUAUAUCCUGUGACAUCGAAUUCUGUUUCGUCCGGAGGGGCGGACCAUCUGCCAUCGUCGUUGGACAACACUGGCUGCAACGUGGACGUGUCAAGUGGCUUUUCAAGCGACGAGGGGAGAGGGUCAUCUGAUAUUUUCCCAUCCGGGCCCAUCCUGAGCUUGCGUAGUCGCUCGGACACCCACGUGUUGGGUGACAACGUGACUUGCGUGGUCGCACGAUGGACCUUUUAGAAAAUGAUUGAGACACUAGUGAGGCUGAAACCUUUUUUACAAGCUGUCACCCCAAACUCACCUCAGUCCAUCCUCUCUUUCCUUGAUAGUUUGAGCAGCGGUAUCCGUCUUUAGCGUCGAAUUCCCUUGCCCCGUAUGUAAACGACCGUAUGACGGAAUUUAUUCACCGGAUUUAUCAAUCGGAUUCCUCUCUGCAACCUGCAUAUAGGUAAGUAAUUUCUCCAAAAGUUUCUUUUAAAAACCGAUCCUCCAAAAGCUUUGAUACAUUAGCCUCCAGAGACCGGGACUGCCUGGCUGCCACCUUCACUGCGGUGCGGGCCAGGAUUUUGUUGACUGUUUGACAUCGCGUCCAAAUCCCGACCGCUAACCGCGCGCACCAACCGUUGAUCCUCCCGAAAACCCAACACGCCCGAUGCGGCCAUGCCGCGCUACCUCUACUUCCGCCCCGCCGCAGGCCAUGCCCGCCCCCACCGCCACCCCCUCCUCGCCCACCUCGACGCCUGCGCCUCGCGGGCCCACCUCGCGGAGCUCCACGGCCGCCUCAUCCGCGCCCACCUCGCCCCGGACCCCGCCGUGGCCGGCCGGCUCGUCGCCCUCCUCGCGUCCCCGGCCCCGGGCCACGACAUGCGCUGCGCGCGCAGGGUGUUCGACGGGAUGUCCCGGCCGAACGCGCCCGCGUGGAACUCCAUGAUCAGAGGGUACACCAGCCGCGGCGCGCCUGGGGACGCGCUGGCGACGUUAAGGAACAUGGUUCGGAGGGGCGUCGUGCCUGACAGCUACACCAUGGCCGCGGCCGUGACCGCGAGUGCUGCUGGUGAUGGCUGGAAGUGGGAGUGGCGGGCGACCGGGGACGCGGUCCAUGCGAUGGUCCGGAAGAUUGGGUGCGCGGCGGACCUGUACGUCAUGUCAGGCCUGGUUAAUCUAUACGGCACUUUUAGAAGUGCUGAGGAUGCAAGGAAGGUUUUUGAGGAAAUGCGGGAGAGGGAUGUGGUGUCUUGGACGUCCAUGAUCUCAGCUUUUGCACAGCGUGGCAUGUGGGAUGAUGCGUUGAGGUUUCUAUCUGAGAUGCAGGCAGACGGGAUUUUUCCUAACAAAGUCACGAUUAUAAGCUUGUUGUCUGCUUGUGGGCAUGGGCAGGCUGUUGACAGAGGCCGGUGGGUGUAUGAUCAGCUUAGUGAAUAUGGAAUUGAGGCUGAUGUGGAUAUAGGAAAUGCACUCAUAAGCAUGUAUAUGAAAUGCGGGUGCAUGUCUGAUGCUUUGGAAGCAUUUAAGGUCAUGCCUUCAAGAAAUACUAAAUCAUGGAACACCCUGAUCGAUGGGUUUGUGCAAAAUCAGAAGCAUAAAGAAGCACUGACAAUGUUUGAGGAGAUGUUAUCGAAUGACUUUAAUCCUGAUGCCGUAACACUUGUUAGUGUUUUAUCAGCCUGCACUCAGCUUGGUGAUCUUCAGCAAGGGAGGAAUCUCCACAGUUACAUAAAAAGUCGUAGGAUUAGUUGUGACACCAUCCUUACGAAUUCUUUGAUUAACAUGUAUGCCAAAUGUGGCGAUAUGGUAGCAGCAGAAGUGGUUUUCCAGGCUAUGAAACAGAGGGAUGUUGUUUCAUGGACAACUAUGGUUUGCGGUUAUGUGCAGGGACGGCAAUUUACAGCGGCAUUCAUCUUUUUUGAAGAGAUGAAGGCUGCAGGAAUUGUAGCAAGUGAAAUGGCACUGGUUAGUCUACUUUCUGCUUGUUCACAGCUUGGGGCACUUGAUAAAGGAAGGGAGAUACACGCUUAUAUAGAAGAAAAGAACAUCAAAAGAGAUGUAUUCCUAGAAAGUGCCCUGGUGGAUAUGUAUGCAAAAUGCGGCUGCAUCAACAUGGCUGCUGAAAUAUUUAGCAAAAUGCAGUAUAAGCAAACCCUCACAUGGAAUUCUAUGAUCGGAGGCCUUGCAAGCAAUGGACAUGGGAAAGAAGCAGUCCAGCUCUUUGACCAAAUGCUAAAGUUUGGAGAUCCCAAACCUGAUGGUAUUACUUUCAAGACAGUCCUUGGUGCCUGUGCUCAUGUGGGAAUGGUUAGUGAGGGACUCCGUUACUUCCAUUCCAUGUCGACCUCUGGUAUUGCCCCUGAUAUUGAGCACUAUGGUUGCAUAGUUGACCUCCUAAGCAGAGCUGGGCUACUAGAAGAAGCAUUUGAGUUCAUCAUGAAGAUGCCAAUGGAGCCUAAUCCUGUAAUUUGGGGAUCACUUCUUUCAGCUUGUAGAUUUCAUCAGAAAAUAGAUUUAGUGAGGAGAGUCGGGCAACACAUAAUUAAGUUAGCUCCUAAUGAUGUGGGAACACAUGUGCUGAUUGCAAACUUACAUGCUGAAGGUGGUCAGUGGGAUGAUGUGCAGCAAAUAAGAGAGCAGAUGGGAAAGAGGGGCAUAGAGAAGUCACCUGGUCAUAGCUCCAUCCAAGUCUAAAUCUUCUUGAUGUAGUUUAACGUGAUACGUGAUCUGCCUAUAGUACACGAGGCUGACAGGAGCAAUGCCAACGAGUACAGUUUCUGUUUUUACAAGAAAUUAGGCAUCACAUGUCAAUUUCCAUUAACCUGUGUACAUGUGAUUAAUUAUUGUAUUAUUUUUGGGGUAUAAACAGUCAACACUACCUUAACCAUUUUGUGUGACGCCUCUUUUAAUAGCUAGAUACUCACACUUGGCAGUGGUGCAAGCUCAGCUAAAUUUGUCUAUGGUAGCAUUGGAUAAUGUUCAUGCACACAAUUGAAGCUGUGACAAGAACAGAAGACAUGUAAAAUAUACUCAUUUCAUAUUUCCAUAUGAAAUUUAGAACUUACCUGCUGUUCAGUUCAUAGAUUAAUCAACAUAGUUUUUUUAAUGAACUAUCUUCUCUAUGUUUGAGUUAUGCUCAUAUUAUUGAAGAAUCAUGCUUUGUAGCUAAUUCUUUGUACAUUGAUUUGCUAAGACUGUCCGAUUAUCUUGUUCCAAAUAAAUAACAAUUUGCAUUUUUCAACUAUUGCACUGUUCAUGCCGUCAACAUUCCUACAUUCUCCGAUCUUACAAGUCCAAGAGGCAAAACUGCAACCAGCCCUUCGCUGCACAUUGAAGUAAGAUAUUUACGCUUUUUUUAUAUCAAUUUCCAGUUUGUUGAUAUUGCCUAAGAAACGCAAGUCAGUAUCCAGAUUAUCCAUUUGGGGAUUGAAUUCUCAGUUUUCAUAUGGCUGGAAAAGACAGUUCUUCUCUUUUAGAGGGAGAAUGAAGACAGGUAACUCUCAGAAGGCUGACAUUAAAGGCCAAGCUCCAUCAAAAGGUAUGCGCAAAUUAACCUCACAUCUUUUCUGCAAGAUAUUAACUGUUUAAUAGUGAAGAAAUUAAAAAUAAAUGAACCCCACUAAUCAUGCAUACUGAACAAAUGACACAUUGAGGUUUUUUUUUCUCGAACUACGCAGGAGAGCUGCGUGUCAUUUCAUUAAGAAGGAAAAGCACGGAGGGACUGGUUAGAGCCGGACCCAAGUACAGGACUCACACCACACACACACACAUAACAAAAGCUCACAGGCUUGCCACAGGGAGCUUAUCACCAAAACGACCUAGCUAAACACCACAGCCUAAACAGCUCUGGAAAGCGACCAAGCAAGGAGCUCUUGAAGUUUAGAAGCUCCUGUCAUCCCCCACAGAUUACAUUCAUCAGCUACAGACCGGAGCAAAACUGGAAUGCUAGGCCUUGCUUGAUCAAACACACAAGAAUUUCUAUGUUUCCAGAUUUCCCAAGCCACCAAGAUGAUUAGGGAAUUCAACCCCUUACUCAAAUUCUUAGGAACAAGUCUAAGAGCUUUCUUCCACCAACUGGAAAAUCUGAAAUCUGUUGUGGGCACUAGAGCAGACAGAUGCAGAGACUGAAAAAUUGAGAACCAAAUCUGCCUGGAGAAGACACAGCCGACCAGAAGAUGCUGCAUAGUCUUCUCCUGGUCACAAAAAGGGCAGGCAUCCGGGUGGGGCAGGCCUCUUUUAGCUAGGCGAUCCGAUGUCCAACAAUGGUUGUUAAAUGCUAGCCAGAUAAAGAAUUUGCAGCGAAGGGGGGCCCAAUUCUUCCAAAUCCUCUUCCAAGGCGCGAAUUUGAUUGUCCCAACAAAGAAUGCAGCAUAAGCCGACUUGCUAGUGUACACUCCACAUUGGGUCAGUUUCCACCUGUACUGAUCAGGUACUUCAUGUUGCAGAACCAUGCCGUCCACUAGAUCCCAAAUCUGAAGAUACUCAAUGAGAACUUGGUCAGUUAGGCCACCUUUGAUAUCAAGGACCCAUCUCCUAUUAAUGAGAGCUUCUGCUACUGUCCUUCUUCUGACCGAUCUUUUGGGGAUUUUUUGUAUCUGGGGCUAACUUGGCAAUAGUUCUACCAUUCAGCCACCUGUCCUCCCAAAAAAGGAUUGUCUCCCCAUUAUCUACGAAUCUACUGCCAUGUUGAACAAAGCUUGAGCAUUUCGGGGAACUUGAACUUGAAAACCAGCCCAAGGCUGAGUAGGGUCAGUUUUCUGAGCCCACAGCCAACAGAUCCUCAGGGCCAAGCCCAAAGUUUCCAGAUUAUGAAUCCCCAAUCCACCAUACUCAAGUGGUCUCUGGACCCUUUCCCAAGAAACAAGGCAGUUGCCUCCAUUAGCCUGUUCUUGUCCUUUCCACAAGAAGCCCCUUCUUUUAUCCACAGCCUUGAUAACCCAUUUAGGGAGGUCCAAGACUAUCAUCAAAUAGAUAGGAGAGGCUGUCAUCACCACCCGUACCAUGACCAAGCGACCAGCCCUAUUCAUCAGAGAGGCCUUCCACCCUGGUAGGUGAUCUGCCACUUUUUAUCUAUUAAAGGCAACAACACCUCUUUCGUAGGCUUAUGGAUUGUAAGAGGCAGACCAAGGUAGGUGCAAGAGAACUCCUUGACAGCACAGGCCAACACAUCUGCAGUGAGGAGCAUCUCAGCAUCGGAACAGUGAAUGGGAGAGACUGAGCUCUUAGUGAGAUUUGUAUGCAGACCAGAAGCAUGACCAAACAAAUCAAGGAUGGUUUUGAAGACUCGCAGGUCCAUCAUAGAAGGCCGCAAGAAAACCACUGCAUCAUCCGCAUAGAAGGAAAUCUGAUGUCGGGCAUGCUGUAUAGCGAGCGGUUGCAGCAUCUGUUCUCUAGUUGCAUAUUCCACCAGAGAAUUCAGGACAUCCAUAACCAGGAUAAAUAGCAUGGGGGAGAGAGGGUCACCCUGUCGAAGCCCACGACGAUGAACAAUUGACCUACUCGGUUCACCAUUUACUAGGACUUGGGUAGAAGAGGUGGACAGGAUCAGGCAGAGAAGGUCACGCCACCGCUGUCCAAACCCCACGUCGCAGAAUCUCCAGAAGGAAGGACCAAGAAACUGAGUCGAAAGCUUUGGAGAUGUCCAACUUGAGUAAAAUAUGAGCCUCUUUUUUCCUGUGCAAGGACUUCACUAUUUGCUGGACAAGGAGAAAAUUGUCGUGAAUGUUUCUUUCCCUAACAAAAGCACUUUGAUUUGUGGCGACCAAUGAGGGCAGCUGAGGUGCCAGUCGGUUUGCCAUCACUUUUGUCAACAAUUUGACACUGUGAAUCAAGCUUAUAGGCCGGAAGUCCUUGACUUGGGUGGCAUCCAAUUUCUUGGGGAGGAGGGAAAUGAAGGAAGUAUUGAGUAAUCUGAAUUUGAACACACGUCCCUGAUGAAUGGCUGCAAAAGCCUGCAGUAGGUCCCCUUUGAUAAUGCUCCAACAAGACUUAUAAAAACGGCCUGUAAAACCAUCCGGCCCCAGGGCCUUAUCCAAUGGCAUAUCUUUGAUUAUUUCCCAGACUUCUUCCUCACUAAAAGGAGCAUCCAGGGAAGAUAGAUCAUGCUGUUGGACACCUAUUUCAGCAAGAUCAAUUGUGUAGUCUCGUUCCUCUGCUGUCCCCAGAACAUUCUCGAAAAAUUCCAGCACUGCCUCCUGUUUUUCCUCCCGUGUUACAGCUAACUGAUCACCAACUUGUAAUUUUGCAAUGAAGUUCUUCUUUCUAUAUCUUGCCUGUUGAUGGAAAAAGGAAGUGUUUGUGUCUCCUUCACGGAGAUAGAGGAUUCUUGAGCGCAGCCGGGUGAUGGUUCGCUCAAAGGAAGCCAAACCGAGGCAAUGAAGCUUAAGCUUUUUCCUCAGCCACUCUUCACUUGAAGAGAGCUCCUGAGAGUCCCUUGCAAUUUCUAGCUGGUGCAGAAUCUCUUUUGCCAUUUCUAUCUGAAGCUUGAUAUUUCCAAUCUUUCUUUGGCCCCAUUUUUGUAAACCCCUACUGAGGCGUUGCAAUUUGAGAAAAAGCCGCUCAACUGCACAGUUAGAUUGCACCGGAGCAUCCCAAACAGCCUGAAAGAAACCGGGCACCUUGGUCCAGAAGCUCUCAAAAUGAAAGCGCCAUUUUCCACUCUUUUGGAUUUUCAACCCAAGAAUGAGAGGGCAGUGGUCAGAAACUGUGGAUGCUGCACUUUGCAAAACUGAAUCAGGAAAGAUACCUUCCCAUCCCAAGCAACAAAAAGCCCGAUCCAACCUGACAAGUGUGGGAGAUGUACGCUCAUUCAACCAAGUGUAUUUGCGUCCCAAAAGGGGGAUUUCUUUGACCUCAACAUCAUCCAAAAAGCGCCAGAAUCUACCCAUCAUUGCUCUGUCAAGAUUGGCAUUCUUCUUAUCAGCUGCCUGGUAAAUCAGAUUAAAAUCUCCUGCCACUAACCAUGGCCCAUUGCACAUUCCCCGAACAUUCCGAAGCUCCUGCAGGAAUAGAACUUUCUCCUCAUCUUCCUGUGGCCCAUGCACGCCAGUAAACCACCAAUUUCAGCCUUCUUGCUCUGAAAAAAGAACCAAGACUGAAUAUGUCUCGACCUGAGUAGCAAUUGCUUGACAACUGCUACUCUUCCAAGCAAUCAGAACACCAAGAGCCAUUUCGAAUUUUCCCCAAAACCUUUGGAAUUUCCAAACCCAUGGACACGACAGAGUACAAGUUUAACAUUUGCAACAGCUCCGGAACAAUUACACUAAGAUAUGUACUAUUCUUUUUUUGUUAUGUCAAAACUGUAUCAUGUGAUUCUGAAUGACAGGCCAGACUGCUCAUCUACCGUGGUGGAUCACAGAUUCCACUAUUCCAGGCAAACCGAUCCUAGAAAAGAGUCCCAAUUUCAAAUCCACACGGGACACAUCUCAAAUCAGCUGGAGUUACCACAUGCCUUGGAUAAUGUUCAUGCACUGAAGUUGUGACAGGAAGAAAACUACUUCCAACACCUAAGGCUUGCAUACUGAAUUAUAGUUGAAGAACAGGUGCGUAACAUUUCCUCAAUUUAGUAUUUGCAUAUGGCCUGAUGGCCAUAUGUGGCUUAGAACUUCCCGGUUGUUAAGUACUUAGGCAAGGAACAAGAACAAUCAGACCUGUGAGUGUUUUCUAGUUUUUUUUUAAUUGUGUUUGAGUCAUACAUAGAUUAGUGAAGAAUCACGUUGAAUCCCUAAUCAUUAGUAGUUUUGAUUUGUUAGUUUCAUCUGUUGGAAGUAAAUAAUAGUUUUCCUUCCUUAUUUACUUCUUCCAUUCUGCAGGCUGCCCAGAACAAGUUCAAUAAUUAGGAUGCAGCCAUUAGAGACAAAGCUACAAUUAGCCCUUUGUGUACUUACACACGUGGUGUUCUUCUUCCCUCCAAGCUUCCCCUGCCGUAAGAUAGUCUCUGAAAUUUCAAUUUUGUUAUCAGUUUCCAAGUUGCUGAUACUUUGGAUAUCCCUAAGUUUCUAGUAGAAUGGAAACAGGUACUCACUUUUCAGCAUUCUUUACUGUCAUACAACAGGACUCGUAGUAAAGGCUGCUGGAAAGUGAGUAAUUGUUUCAGUUUUUCCAGGAACUUGGGAAUACUCAAACAUCAGUACAUGCCAGAAGACAAAUCUAGCAUUUGAAAAUUCUCUGGAAAUUUGUGAUCAGAAGUCAUCUGUUUUAGAUGAUGAAAUGGUCCUAGCUGAAAGACAACCAUGUACUUCAUGGUGGCCAUUCAUCUGCCAACUGCCAUGGUGGAUCUGAGGUGAAGCAGGCCCGGAAAAGUGUCGCAAGUAAACAGGUGGUGCUACUGAAUAAUGCCUGCACUGCAUGCUGCUACCGAAUCUCAGUCUAUGAGGAACACAGCGUUAGCUGCACAAUCAGCCGAUGCUACUUCUGUUCUUCACCCCAUGUAGCAGUCUGCCUCAACCCAUUGGUGCUGUGGAUAGUCACAGUAAGUUAUAUGUAUCCUUUACUUGUGAUGUGAAGAAGUUGCUCAACGAGGUUAGGAGCAAGGUACGAUCGCUAGCAAACGAGUUCUUGGCUUCUAGUUCUACUGUUCUACAUGACUAUGCUGUUAGUACCCUGAUUGCUGUUAUGAUGCCGCACAGCUCAAUUCGUUGAAUGCUCAUGUCACUAUGUCAGAGGCCUUGCCUGUUGCGUCAAUUUUAGGGCCGUUCGGUUGUUUUGCUGCUUUGCCUGGCCUUGCCUUGCCAGGCGAGCGAAUUCUUGCCGGCGCAAGCGAGCCGGAUUGGCUCUCCCGCAUUGGCAAGGUGAAACCUUGCUAGCACAGACCCCGAGAUAAACUAGCUGUUCUUCCAAACGCGCAGCCCUCGUCCCUAUCCUUGCUUAGCAAGGCUAAAUAGUACCCAGCAAUGGUUCCAAACGGCCCGAGAAUACUGUGGCAUCUUUCCAAUCUGGGCAGCGAUUGUGCAAGUCAAUUAUCGUAAUGAGAAUGACCAGUUUCCCCGGACCACAUGAAUGUCCCCAGCAUGAUGUGCGUCAGGCUUAACGCACUAUAGUCAGCAAUCUAUGUUUUCUUCGUAAAUUUGAGUAGCAAAAGUUGGGUUGAACCAUUAAGAAACAAGGAAACAAGUAGUGAUAACUUUGAACGGGAAAAAAAUUAUGGCCCAUGCAGGUCUCGAACCUGCGACCUUCGCGUUAUUAGCACGACGCUCUAACCAACUGAGCUAAUAGGCCGUUUUGAUACCUCGGAACAACAAUAAAUAUAAGUACCUUUUUAUAAUUGUAUGCACGUAGAAUCAGAAACUAUCAACGCUGCACGCCCGCUUGAGACUUGAGAGUGCUGGAUCCAACGAAUGCGAGGUCCACCGUAGCUCAGUCCUGGUCUCCUGGACCGUCUCUUGUUUGCUGCUUCGUGAUCGCCCAGCCGUGUAGGGCCAUGCCCAAAUUAUUUCCAAACCCGUCGAUGCUAAAUUUAUCCAUCCGACGCUCUCGCCGGCUCUUCUUGGCAACCCACUCCCUUCACGCCACGGUUAAACGCCCGGGCGGCGGAUACUAAUCCGGAGAGCUGGAGACUUGGAGAGGCAACAAAGCAAUCGCGCAUGUGCCGCAGAUGCCCAAAUGCGCGCUACACGGACGCGAUCGAUCGAUCCGGACCGCCCGGCCGGCGGAUCGCCUGCCCGUGCCGUGGUCCGUCCCCCCUGCUCUUGUACAUGGUCUGGUGUGUGAGGGUUUGUGUACUUGUGUCGAGUCGAUCACCGAGUAUCUCGGGUCUCUAGUUAAACGAGCAAUUUGUCAUGGACAUGCUUCGGGAUUUCAGGCCCCGGUCGCGGUCGGUACCCCCAAUUCCCCAAAUCAGAGAAACCAUGCAUGCCAUCAACUACGCGAAACAUACUGAUCUUGCGUGUGAUUUUACAAGGGAAUGUCUAUAUAUCACAUGGGUGAAAUUGAGACUCUCCUCGCUCGUUUUUUUGAGCCAUCAGAUCAUCAUCCAACGACUCACCUUCAUCUUCCACCUCCCGCCGGCUGUGCUUCUUCGCUGCCCGUCGUCCCCUCGUGCCUCUACCCGUCUAGCACGGGUGGGCAAAGGUCCUGCCAGAGCUUCGUGCGCGGCUGGAGUGCGCGGCCGCCUUCUUGCCCCUCCCGUCACCGCUUCCCGUCGUCGUCGUCCCCCCCCCCCCUCCUGCCCUAGCACCACCCAACCGCCCGCCACCACCGUCCUCGCCGGUGGCGCCCCCGCCGCCAUGCCUCACCGUCCCACGCCCGCCACCUCCGCCGGGCCGGCCUAUUGUCGCUGGCUUUCCCUCUAGGCCGCUGAUAAGCACCCACCCCGGAAACCUUGAACCCUUAAUCCUGGAAACCUCGAACCUCUAACCCUGGAAACCCCGAACCCUGACGCCCCUAAUCUCGUCGGAAUUUGGUCGGAGUCGGAGAAGGAAGGGAAAAUAGAGUGCAUAUCGGAAAAGAAAAAAUUGGAUGAGGAAGAGCUCUGUUUCACCCGGAUGAGCUACAGCCCUUCCUUUUUAGAAUGGCCACUAGGCACGGCUGGCAAGAGGGGUUUGACGCCACUUACGCGCACCGUGUGCGAUUUGCGAUCCGUGCCGGGGAGAAGCCGUGCGCGUGUGCGGCCUCGACCAUGUGCGCAGCGCCACCACUUCUCCUGCUUGGCUUGGCUGUCCUAUUGAAACAAGCCGGCCGGCCGGAUACCUCCCGCCUGCGCGCAGCCUCCCAAACGAGAGACACCGGAGGUGGUGCCGGUGCGCAUCUCCACGGAUCCCCGAUUUGUUUAACCAGCGUAGUGGUUGCGGUCGCAAGGCUACAAGCGCUACUGUACAUCCCGGAGCUUUUCGCGGAGCUGCCAGUGUGUUCCGCAUUGAGAAGAAAACCAGCUGCUGACCUCUAGUUUAUUUGUACUCGUAACAGAGCAACAACGGUCAUCGUCGAGGGAGCGGUUUGGCGUGUAGCGUGUCCACCCAUCUUGUGCUUGUGCGGAUCAAGGCCUGAACAAGAAAGAGUACUCUAAGGCGGAAUCGAUGGCGGUGAUUUGGCAGGGACAGUUUGCAUUGUUCAGAUGGCUACUACUGGUUUUAAAAUUCAAUCUGACAAAAGGGCGUGGCAGAGGGUGAGAGCGCCUGAAGUUGUGCAACGAAUUUAGUAAAGAGUGAUGCACUCACUAGUCACUAUAUACUGCAAAUGCAUACUAGUGCUUUUCUUCUUCUUUUUUUUUGAAAGAUUACUAGUGCUUUUCUGAUGGAUGAGGAUCGCGUAGAAGCAUUGGCGGUUGCUGGUGUCAGCAGCUGAGAAAUUGCCGCUGGUGCCUUGCCGUGCUCCGUGUCUCGCCAGGCCACGCAGGCAGAGACGGGACGAGGAUGCUGACGGCCAUUCGGUCUAUCCGACUAGCACAAUACGUCAAUACUACGCCAGUGUAGUUUCUAGAGUUUCUACGACUGCAAUGGCAUUUUCCAUGGACGCUUUCAGUCUCGGUGCCGUUUUAUUCAACUAUGACGGCAUCGCUAACAGAAUUUCAUGUCAUUUCAGAUUCCUCAGUCUGCCUGCCAGGCCAUUUACGAUCGAUUUUCACCGGACCGGCCCCUGCCGCGAUUUUACAGUAACCCCCGCUAUUCUUACCAAUUUACAGUAGCUGCCAUGUCCUAGCUAGCUAGCUGCUGCAGCUGAUAUUGCUCUCCUCGCUGCCGCUGCUGCCGUCCGCGUUGCUGUCACUGUGGUUGUUCUCCUCCGCCCGCCACGCGGACGCCGAGAAGAGCGGCCGCCCGUGCCACCCCAGCGUCAGGCACCCGUCGGCCUCCUCCACGCAGUGGCCCUCCCCGGAGAAGAGCCCCACCAGCAUCCUCGCCUGCCGCAGUGCGUUGGCCCCCAGCGGCACGCCGGCCAGGCCCGCGCGCCCCAGCCUGUCCCGCCACCGCCGCAGCGGCUCGUGCCGCUCCCUGCGCUCCGCGCCCUCGCCGCACACGAUGUCGCAUAUCUCGCGCUCCAGGUACGCCUCGGCCGCCGCGUCGCCCGCGCCGCCGCUCGCCGCGUCCAGGGAGUCGAACACCGCCGAGUAGUAGAAGAGCGCCUCCGUGAACCGGUCCAGGAACCCCGGCUUAUUGUGGUCCGCCUCCUGCUCCACCACCGUGAACACCCUGGGGCGCAUGGACGACACGCAGUCGAGGACGGCGUCGAUGGGCGCCCGGGCGUCGUCGGCCGCCGCGGACGGGUCGGCGACGAGGCGGUGGAGCUGGAGCACGGAGUUGACGGCGACGGCCUCGCCCUGCGACACCUGCAGCAUCCACGGGCGGAUCUCGUCGAGGCGGUUGGCGGCCACGCCGCGGAAGGAGAAGUGGACGCGCACGGAGCGCGCCAGGUCGGCGAGGCGGACGCCGACGUCGCGGAGGUCGUCGCGGCCGGGCGGGGAGGGCGGGCCAAUGCCGGUGAGGCGGAGGAACGGCGGCCCGCCGGGGCGGAGCGCCAGGGCCUGGAUCAGCGCGGGCCACUGGAGGCCCUGCAUGAGGUUGAAGUCGAUGAUGUGGACGUGCUUGCAGCCCUGGACGGCCUCCAGGAUGGCCUGGUUGGCCGUGAAGUGCGCGAACUUGAGGUAGGGCCCCGCCUCGUAGAAGUGGUGGUAGAGGAAGGCGUGGUCGGCGUCGGCGUCGGCGGCGGCGGGCUGGGGCGGAGGUGGCGACGGCGUGGGAGGGAACAGCCUCCGGGACAGCGCGGCGGUGAAGUGGACGGCGACGCGGCCGAUGCCGGAGCCCGGCGAGACGGCGGCGAGAGCGGCGUGCGCGUCGGCCAGGUGCGCGGACGCGCCCGCGUGGUCCCCGGCCUCGACGGCGCCGGCGCAGCUCAUGAGGAGGUGCACCAGGCGGAUGCCCGCGGCCUCCUCCUCCUCCCGCCGCAUCGCCGCCAGCGCCGCGGCGAAAUCGGGCAGCACCGCGGGCAUCGCCGCGUGCAUGUCCGCCGCCGCGUCCGCGUAGUACGCCACCCCGGCGGCGUCGGGCACCACGGUGGGCAGCGGCGGCAGGGAGACGUCGAGCCCCGGCUCCGCGGGCCACUGGAAGGGGAACGCGCCGCCCAUGGCCAUGGGUCGGUGGUGGGGGAGGCGGCUCGGUGGCGUGGGCGGUGACGCGGUCAGUAGAGUGACGGCGUCGCGCUUGGCGGGCGGUGAGUGAUGUGGAGGGGACUGAGGAGACGGGCGGGCGGGUCGCGGGGGGUUAAGGUGCGGGCAGGUGACGUCGGAAAGGCACGGGGAGGUCGGUUACACGUGGAGAGGCGGGCACGAGCACGGGGCGGGCGGGGACACGUAGGCCUCGGGAAGGAUUCUGAGGCCGGCGAGCGGACCGAGGCGCCGUGGGGGCGGCCUGCUCCUUCUGUCAAUUCCUGUUUCCUGAUCUUGUCUGCGGGGAUCUCAUCUCGGAGUGUGCAAUCUUGUAACCGCACCCAAAUUUUACUCGGAGUACUGUAUGAAGGCAGUAAGACUAGAGAGACUACCGCGCAACCCGUAGGAAGUUUCCUCACUGUCGCUGUACAAACCUUCCUCUCACGUCUUCAACUCGAGAAAGUAAAACAUAAGUUCCACGCACGCGUCGGAUCUUCGCACAGGAAAAUGCUUCGCACACGAUCUAUCAGUAGACCGUAGAGUUGAACACAUAAAUUUUAACGGCUCGUAUUUGUAUAAGCUUUGUGCUUUUAUGAUGGUAUAAAUAUAUAGUAAGGGAAAUUCAAGUAUUUUAUAACCCGCCAACACAUGAAUUCUUUCAUGUACGAGUACCUUGUUAAGCUAGUUUAUUUAUAGAGUGCUAGUUUAUUUGUAGAGUCAAUUUCACCUUAGAUUCUUAAACUAUUCCUGAGAUCUCAUCUAGGUUCAUGGUCUUUUAAAAUGGCCAUCUAGAUCCACAUUCUAAUAAAGAGUGAUUAUGGAGGUCCACAAAUACCCACAUAAGCGUGUUUUGCCUAUGUGGUAAUGUCAACGUGUCAUUUUUUAGAAAAUAUAUGGUAACAAAACUAGGGUAGUACAACAACGAAUAACACAUUUUUCCUCGCACAACAUAGAUUUUCAAAAUUGGAUGAUGAAAAAUCAAGUGUUGAAAGACAAUAAGGUCUUGUUUGUUUGAACUUCUUGGCAGCUUCUCAGUGUGAAAGAAUUAGAAUCUUAAACAAAACAAUGAAAUUCUCGUGCAGCUUUCAAAAAGUCAGAAGCCUAGAAAAGGCUGAGUUUUAUAUGAAAAAGUUUGGUUUUUUAGUUUUUCGUAGCAUUUUGAGUCCAGAAAACUAAACAUAUCUUCUAAAAGCUAUUGCAGGCUUUUCAUAACAAAAAACCAGCAGUAGCUUUUCAAAAAGCUUCAAAAAGCUCCAAAAGUUGCACCUCAAACAAACAGGUCCUAAAACACUGGAUAAAUCUAACGAGUGAAAUUGCAGGUUAGUUUUUAAACUCUAAGCCACUUAUGCUUUUUGGAGUUGUGCCAAACAAACCUGGAACCCUACAUUUUAAUUUGCCUCAACUAUUGGAUAACUCUAACGAGUGAAAUUCUGUUCAUAACAUUUUUAAUGGAAACUUUAUUAGUACUCGCACCAAUGUUGGUUUGCUUCUAGCAACAUUAAACUCUCUACUCUGGCGAAUGAUAAAAGAUACAUGUAGAAAUACAAUUCGGCUAAUGGCUGCUUAAGACAAUAUUUCUCAUGAUAUAUGCUUAAGUUUUACAUUUAUGCACAACAAACCCCCAUUUUUUCGAAGGCAUUGCCAAAGUAGUUAUUUGUAUUACUUUCAUAUAAUUGUAGAUUCAAAUAAUUUAGCUAAGCAUGUUGUUUUCACAUGUAUUUUGUUCUCUAUAGUUUAUCUAGAUAGAUAUGUGAAUCGCAAAGUUAUGUUGGGUAUGAACCCAGUGGUUGGUGGCUUGAUCCAUUCAAAUGUCGGUGACUAUUCAUGAUGGGCAAACUAGCUAGACUUAUAUAUGCUUUAUUCGUAAAGUAGAGAUGCAUAGGGCUUCCUCCUAUCACCCCUAUAUCUUGCCUCCUCGUUUUAGAUGAUAAAGUACAAAUUUUGUUAAAUGCUUUGAGUUUACGAGAUAUUUGAAAGCAAUUCUACUCACUAUAAGUAAUAUGUUCAUUUCUCUUAAUAUUUGCUUGUUUUUUUCCAAAAAAAGAAGUUAAAUGUUCAUUUUCUCCAUAAGCGUUAUCUUUUCUUGGCGGAGAGUUGGAGUUCGUUUCUAGGGAGUAGCUAGCUAGGUGAAUAAAUUUUGUUUUGGAAGAUGCUAGGUGAACAACAGAUGAACUCCAGUUAGGUCACCGGCUAGCAGAGGAGCAUGAGAGACAGCAGCGGCUUGCUCCCUCACCCCUCGCUCUCCCACUCCUGCUCCACGCCUGCUGCUCACCAUGAUUGAUGGUAAUUCUCCCCCUUAUCCUUCCAAUGGAUCUGCCAUCACUGGGUUUUCAACCUGGCAGAGUCUUCAGUGAAAAAAUUGGCAAGCGGUACGGUUUUUCGGUUAACUCUAUUGGGAAACUAGCAAGUUUGGACUUUCUCUUGCUAGUAUCUUUAAGUUGAAAUAAAUUCAGGCUCACUGAGGAAUCUAUUGGAAUCUACCUUCAAUCUGUUAUAGGAGGCUUUGCUAACUGUUUUUUAGUGCAUCAACUGGAUCAACAGGUUUUCAGAUUUGCUGUCUCUUGCAAACAAGUUGGUUUUGUUGUUUUGGGGCUCAACUCUUUUUCUUCGGUGGAUUUCAAGUUGGCUUUUCUUCUCUGCAAUGAUGCUAGCCUUGCGAAAGCUUUAGCAUUCUCCAAGUCUGAUUCAGGGCCCUCUUUCACCUAGGAAGAAGUUCAUUCGAAGAAAGGCAAACUCUCUUUUGCGGAUGUAGCCAGAGCUCCCCCUCCACCUCUCUCGGGAGCAAAUGCAGUUUUCCUGGGAGCUAAUGUUGCUUGGAGGAUCAAGAAUCAUUUGCAACGUUCAAGUUCAUAUCAUAUUGGCUCAUUUCAUUCUCAGUCGAGGCCUUCUGUUUUUCAGAGAAUUUCUUUCCCUCGCAAAUCGGUUUUUCAGCGUCUGGAAUUUGGAAAUUCACGGGAUAAUUUUCAAACUUCAAAAGGUCAACGGGCUGCAUUGGUUCAUGGGUCAAAAAGCCUAGCUUUCACGAGGCCCGGUACUGUUGCAGGGUUUCCCAUUUACCGUCUAAGGUGUUUAUCUCCCAACCAUUCAAGGAACGAUUGUCGAAGCUUGAUUAAGUGCUGGCACUGCAAACAACUAGGUCACGUCCUAAACUCUUGCUCACUUUUUUCACGAUCUCCAAAGGUUGAAGCAAUUAAGUGGUUGCUCAAGGAGCUGUAAAUUUUUUCCCGCUCUCUCGGUUGGCCUCCCAACGCUGGGAGCUCAUGGUUUAGGAACCCCAGGCUAUUGACUCAUGGGCCUAGCACAAUUGGGCCUCCGUGUUUUGCCUCCCUUGUUGAGUUUGGCUACUCUGUACUUAGCAUUCCAAGGGACAUUGCCCCUUCGUCUUCCUCGGCUCCCCCUCCUUCAUCCACACCAAACCCCAGUGAGGAACCUAAGCAAGAAGACGGUGGAGGUGAUCCUGCACCCUCACCCUCGACGAUGGCCUUCCUCAACAUCGACCCCACACCUAUGCUCCUCCCGGGUUUCAACAAAGUCUUGGUGGAAGGCAGAGAGAAGUACAUUAGGGUAGUCACUCCAAGGGCGCGAUAGGGCAACAAUGAUCUCGCAAUCGUCACCGUCUCCAAUCUGCCUCCCGGUGAGAUACCCUUUGCUGACCUCCGCAACAUCAUCCUAUAGCUCUUGGUAGAUGAGUAUGGUUUAGCAGUUAAGGAAGUUCAUAGAUGCCUCUUUGGUAGAGGUCAAGCUAUGUUCAUUUGAAUCGUGUUUCUGAUAGAGAUAUGUUGGUCCAUCAUAGUCCCCAUCAACUCCAUGGAAUGAACCUAGAUUUCAUCAAUCAUAAUAGAGGGGCAAAUGCUUGAAGGGUUGUUUUCAAUACAGAGUGUUGGCUCAUGCUUAUUGGUUACCCUCCAAAUGAUCAUUCUGUUGAGGACAUUUCAGAUGCAAUCAAAUCUUUUGGCAGACUAAUUGUAUGACAGAAAGAUAAUGUCCUGGCAAGAAUCAUUAUCAAAGCUCGCGUGACUGAUCUAGUGGAUGUACCUCACUACAUUAUUAUGUCAGAAGGUGAUAAUUCUGAGGGGGGCAUCCUUAACUGUCCAAUGUGAGAUUAUUCAUCAGAAUAUGUUAGGAGGCCUGCUGCAAGAUGAAGACAUUCCACCUGGUGGUCUUGAUGAUAACUUUGUCUUCCUUGGUUUUGGAGUUAACCAAGUGGAUCAGCAGUUUGAUCAAGAUCCAGCUUCCCUCAGCCACAGGCCUUGGAAAAUAAGGGCAAUGCUGACCAGCUCUUACCUAAUCUAAAUCAGAAUCCAGAUGAUCAUGUUCAAAAAGAGGACCAAGCCUAGGAAGUGGAUAAUGAUCAAGAAGAGGACAUUCAUAAACCUCCUGAAACCAUGAAACUAGAAGUGCAGCAACAAGUUGAGCUGGACCUGCAGCUCAGUCUGCCAGCUCCCCUAGGUUCCUCCUCCAACUCAACCAUUGCAUCCUCAGACACUUCUCCUAAGACAAAUGAGGAAAUCCAAGCUACAGUCCAAUCACAGCAGCAGGUGAAUGGACUUAAUAACCAUAAAGAUGAACAAGCAGAAGAGCAAUUGAAUGCUGAGGUGGUGUUUGCUUUACCUGCUAUUCCUCAAGGACAGGUUGGUCAUAGCAUUGUUGAACCAGUUAACAUCAUGCCCCAGGAAGGUGAAGGGGAUCACAUGGACAUUGAUCAAAAUCAUCACGAUCGCCUCCAAGAGUUGGCUGCUCCAAUCCUUCCAGUUCACAAUCAGCAAAAUCAAAUUCAAGAGUUGGCUGCCCCAGGACAUGGCAAUGAUCCAGUUAUUAAUUUGAACUUGAACAUCAACAUGGCCCUCACCAGCUUUGACAACUUCCAGUCCAUGGAUCCAAAGCCCUUUGAUUUUUUUGGAUCAAUGAUGCCAGCAAUCCAAAGCCUGAUCUCUAUAGGCUUUGGGCCAAACACUUUUCUCCAGUGGGCUGCCCUGAGCAUGUGGUCCAGAUCCCAAGGAUUGGGCCUCUUUCUUUACUGUCAUGCCUUUAUCACCAAACCAGUUUGAAUGGGCUAAGAAGUUCCUAUCUUCUCAGGCUUAGAGAGUCAUGUUAAAAUGCACUGAUUUGUCAGCAAUGAUGUCAUUUUACCCUGGCAGCUGAUUGCCCUGAAAAUGCUGAAGUUAAAUGCUCUCCCCCUAAGGAGUUCAUGGAUAGCUCAUCUGUCAAUGAAUCAUUUGAUACCCCCCUUUUGGAUGAGGAAUCUCUCAAGAUGAAUGCUAACUCUGAUGAAACACCACCUACCAGUACAAGGAAAUCUCGUAGGUCCACUCCUGUGGUGGAAACUGAAACAAGAAGGGGUCUAAGAAUUAGAGACAACAACAAUGACUUUAAGCAUGAUAGUUGUACUAGCAGAAACUGUAUGGUCUGUGCUACGCAACCCCCAGCCAUUCCAGCUGCAACUCUUAAGAACAUUGGUGAAUCUGUGUGCAAAAUAACACCUGGUGUGUUAUCAGCUGAUACCAUACUCAAUAAGAACAAGACCAAGAAACCAGUUGGAGACCAGAAGACUUCAAAGAAGGUGAUCUCCUCUAAGAAGGAAAAGGGCAAGAGCAAGCAAGAAGAUAAUGAUCCCAAUGAAGCAAACAAGAAAGGCAAGAAGUAAUCGGUCACUAUGUGUCCUAGGUGUGUGUAGUUUCAUAGUUCUGGGGACCCAUCUCCCUCUUUUGUUGAUCUAUAUGGAUUCUGGUGGUUUGUGCACCUUAAGGGUGACUUUUAAAACUCUAGUGAACUGGUUUAUCGGUAUGAUGGGAUUUCUUUUCUGUUUGGUCUGGUUCCUCAAAGCCUCUUUGUUGUGAUGUUUUAUUUGCAUUUAGUUGUGUGCUGUGCACCCAGCUUUUUUCCUCGCUUCCCAUGUCUCAUAAAUGAAUCAGAAUCAAAAUAGAAGAACCUGAACAGUUCUAUACUGGAACAUAAGGGGAAUCAAUUUAGAAGGCAAGUGGGAUACCAUUAGAAGCAAAAUUAUUGAAUAAAACAUGAUGUUGUAUGUUUACAGGAAACUAAAAAAGGAAUUCUUUAAUGCUCAGUUCAUUAAAAAAUUUUGUCCACACAGCUUUGACUCUUUUCAAUCUGUACCCUAUGUUGGAGCUUCAGGAGGAAGCAUCAUUCUAUGGAAUAAUCUGAAAUUUAGUAGUCAACUCACUUUUCAAAACAAUUAUGCUCAGUCAGUGGAAUUUCAGUGUCAACUAUCUGGGAAAAAUUGGAUCCUAACCAAUAUAUAUGCUCCUUGUACUCCUGAAGGGAAGCUGGUUUUCCUAGAUUGGUUUAAACAAAUUGAAAUGCCUGAGGAUUUCACAUGGCUUAUCGUUUGUGACUUCAACCUAAUUAGAUCUCCAAGUAAUAGAAAUAAACCGGGUGGGAAUAUUCAAGAAAUGCUGAAAUUCAAUGAAGCAAUUAGCAGACUGAGACGGGUGGAAAUACCUCUUAAAGGCUAUAAGUAUACAUGGACAAAUAAACAACAGAACCCAUGAGAGAACUUGAAAGGUUAGGAAUAGAGAUAAAAUCCCAUGAGCCAAAAAUGUCACUUCAAGCAAUUCAAAUUAAGCCAACCUUGCAAGAGGAAAUCUUAGACAAACAAUUAGCUGACACAACUAUGCAAACUCUAAAGAAAAAUAUAGUAGAAGGGAAAGUUAGUGAAUUCAGAAUUGAUCAACAGGGUCUAAUACGGUUCCAAAAUAGGUGUGUCUCCCAAAUUAUGCUACACUCAAAAAUAAAAUUUUACAAGAAGCCCAUUCCUCCCUUUACACAAUCCACCCUGGGAGCACAAAGUCUGCUCAUUUCCUACCGGUUAAAAGAACAUAUUCCUUAAAAAAAUAUGCCAAGCUUUAUAUCCAACAAAUAGUAUCUUUGCAUGGGGCCCAAUAAAAAUUGAAUCUGAUAGAGAUCCUCGUUUUGUUUCCGUUUUUUUGAGAAGCUUACUUAAGUCACUUGGAACAAAUCUAGAGUUUAGUACAACAUAUCAUCCCCAAACCGAUGGUCAAACGGAAAGGGUCAACUAAAUCAUAGAGGAUAUGCUUAGAGCUUGUGUUCUUGAAUUCAAGGGAGCAUGGGAUGAAUAUUUACCUCUAGCAAAAUUUACUUAUAAUAACAACUACCAAGCUAGUAUUCAAAUGGCACCGUAUGAAUCUCUGUAUGGGAGAAGAUGUCGAUCACCUAUUUGUUGGGAUGAAGUUGGAGAAAGGAAAAUGUUAGGACCUGAAAUAAUACAAGAGUCUGAAGACAAAGUAAAAGUCAUCAGAGAACGAUUGAGGAUAGUCCAAAGUAGAUAAAAGAGCUAUGCCGAUAAUAAAAUAAGGAAGCUUGAGUUUGAUAUAGGAGGACUAGUAUGUCUAAAAGUGCCACCAAUGAAAGGAGUAAAUAAGAAACUAAGUUCAAGAUAUAUAGGACCAUUUUCAAUUAUUGAGAAAAUUGGAGAAGUGGCAUAUAGACUAGAACUACCAGAUUCACUUGCAAGAAUUCAUAGUGUGUUCCAUGUGUCAAUGCUCCAAAAAUACCUUCGUGAACUAGAAGAAUAUAUUGAAAUACCAAGAGAACAACUACAAGAAGAUUUAACCUAUGAAGAGUAGCCAACACAUAUCCUUGAUACAAAGGAGAGAGAAACAAGACGUAAGACCAGUCGAUUCUUCAAGAUUCAGUGGAGCAAUCACUCAAAAGAUGAGACCACAUGGGAACAAGAAGAGGAUAUAAGGAAAACCUAUCCAUACCUAUUCCAAAUAUGAAGGUAUAAAUUUCGAGGAAUAAAUUUAUUAAGGAGGAAAGACUGUAAUAAUCUAAAAAAUGUAAAUACAUAUGGACCAUUGUGUAAUGUUUAGAUAUUAGACUGCAGUUUUGCUCAAGCCUGCAACUGCAAAAUCGCAAAACCAAGUCCAGAACUGUGUUGAAUAGUAUAUACGAUGUUUGUGCUGUAGCAAUAAAAUAAAUUAAGGGAAAGAAAGGAGAUAAGAAGGAGAUGUAGCUUGCAGUAGUAAAAAAUAAUAAUAAAAGAAGGUCCUGGACACUAUAAGCUUCCUUAGCUCCCACGUAUCCCAGCAGAUAGAGAUUAGAAAACUCAACCAUGGUAGAAAUUAACCCAACCAUGAUCAAGUCUUGCAGUAUAUAUACAGCCCUCUCCUCCACUCACAGUCUGCACAAAAAAUUCUCAAAAACCAAAGCACAAUAGGGUUGGGAGAGAUCAAGGGAAAUCUGAGGUUUGGAAGUAAUCUUGUUGCUAAAGUAUGCACCUUUAACAGAUUUACUUUCUUACUGCUCUUGAUUUCUGUUCUUUUCUCCCUGUUCCUGCUAGUUCUCUUAAGUCCCAUACAUGUCCAGUACUAGUGCUUGUUUGUGUAUAGCCUUUGCCUUGCUUCCCGUAACAAGCUGAGUUAGUUAAACUACAUGUUCCCAGUCAUGCUUGUAGUAUUUUAAUAUAUAUAGUCAAUCACACACAAGGGCACACCGUACUUGGCAACUAAAUUAACUAAACAUUGUACUUACAUGUUCACUGAUAAAUGAUGUUAGUUGAUGAACCAUGGUCCUGAUGCCAGCAUCAUUGCUUCCGGCAAGAACUUAGUACUCUGGAUGAAUGCAUGAGUUCAGAGCUCUGUAAUUAGAAUAAAAUAACCGAAGAAAACAUGUUUGACCUUACUAAAAUCUGAUGACUAUUUUACAUACAAAAGAACAUCUAUAUAGAUUGUCACACUUGAUGUUGCUUGAACUGAACUGAUGAAUACAUGCACAUGGUAUUGAUCUAAAUAUUACCCAGUUUGUAGUAUUGAUGAAUAUGUGCCCACUUGAUGAAAUGUCAACAUUUAAUAAUUACUCUCACUAAUUAAGUUGAAUGCUAAAGACUGUAAUAAUUUAAUUGAAACUCAUCCAAUAUGUUAGGUCCUGAUUGCAAGGAGGACAAGGAAGAACACAGUGAACCAAUCAAGGCAAGCUGCGCAUAUCAGAACCUAUUAAAUCAUGACAUAUGUAACUAAAUAUGAGAUGAUAAUUAAAAACUGAACUCUAGUCAUCAUAAUUUGGGAAAUGAAUUGUUUAUUACUUAGCCUGGGACAACCAAUCCUUAAAACUGUGAUAUGCAGCAAGGCUGGUAUCUGGGUGAGAUAGGCAUCCUCACUCAAGUAGAGGAUAUGAUGUAGGUUUCUCAAAGAUGGGGUAAUACUAUAAGGUGGAAAUUAUGGUGGCUUAAUGAAUACUUCUCCGUAGAGAAAUACUAAAGACUAUGAACUAUUAUUGUCCCUGUUUAUCUUUUAAUGCCAACUCUCCUGUGGUAAGUAGGAACAUAUGUUCAGAACUUAACUUGCUGAGUAUGGUAACAUGCUCAUUUGCUUGCUUGUGUUUUACUGAUAUGCGUAGAAAUGAAAGAAGAGGAAGGUGUGGUCGGGAUAGGGAGUGAUGACUAUGAACAACAGUAGCUGUAGUUUAGUUUCUAUCACAAUAAAAUUGGUGAUUAGUACACCAAUGCAACUCUUGUAUGCUUGGAAUCAUGAAUAAAGAAUGAAUGUCACUUUAGUUAAGAUGAAACUACUAUUCCAUAUUGCCUUGUACCCUUAUGAACUGCAAGUGUUUACAAGUGUACGGCGGCUGCCAUCUCCAAGUUUAUGUUUAGGGUGUGACAACUAUCAGAGAUGAAUUUGGCCAGGAACAUAGAGGACAUGAGGAAAAGGUAAAUCUCUUGUGAAAUGCCUACAAAGACACGAUGGGAACUACUGAAUUUACACAUAUGUACUUUGAUUUGGAUGAUCUGCUUGUCCCAAAUCAAUGAGUUAAACUAGUUGGAGGAACCCUUCACUAAGGAAGAAAUUGACAAAAUUAUUGCUGAUCUCCCAAACAAUAAGUCACUUGGGCCGGAUGGCUUUAAUCGGGAAUUUUUGAAAAAAAAACGCUGGCCUCUAAUCUCACAAGAAUUUUAUGAUCUUUAUGAACAAUUUUUUGAUAGAAAUAUAUGUGUGAGAAGUAUUAAUAACUCAUACAUGACAUUGAUACCUAAGAAGGAUCGCCCUUUAUUUGUUGGGAUUUUAGGCCAAUUUUGCUCCUAAAUUCAUCCAUCAAGCUAAUCACCAAAAUCUUAGCAGACAGGCUGCAACAAUUGAUUCUCAGAUUAAUCCACCAAAAUUAAUAUGGAUUAAUUAAAAGCAGAUCCAUCCAAGACUGCUAGUAUGGCCUUUGAAUAUCUACACAUUUGCAAGGCUUCCAAGAAGGAGAUAGUGAUCCUAAAACUUGAUUUUUGAAAAAGUCUUUGAUAAAAUUGAGCAUCAAGCCAUUAUGGAAAUUCUCAAAUACAAAGGAUUUGGUGGUUGAUGGAUUGGUUGGAUUAAAGACAUAUUGAGCUCAAGAACCUUCUUCAUUAUUCUGAAUGGUGUACCAGGGAAAGUAUUUCACUGCAUAAAGGGUGUCCGACAAGGAGAUCCCCUCUCACCAUUACUCUUUGUCCUUGCUGCAAAUUUGUUACAAUCCAUAGUUAACAGAGCCAAAGACCAAGGUUUGCUCACAUUGCCUAUCCCUAAAAAGGCUGGUGAUGAUUUUCCAAUUAUUCAGUAUGUUGAUGAUACUCUACUAGUUAUGGAAGCCUGUCCUCAGCAGUUGGCAACCCUUAAAGAAUUAUUAAACUCCUUUGCUAAUUCUACUAGGUUAAGGGUUAACUACAGCAAGUCAGUCAUGGUACCACUGAACAUCUCUGAAGAAAAAUUUGAAAGCCUAUCGGUCGCAUUUAAUUGUCUCAAAGGCAACCUCCCAUUCACAUAACUUCGUCUUCCUCUAGGGACUACAAAGCUAGGCAUAGAAGAAUUCCUACCUCUGAUUCAGCGAAUUGAAAAAAAGGCUUACAUGCACCUCGACAUUCCUCACCCAAGGAGGAAAAUUGGAAAUGGUCAAUUCAGUGCUUUCAUCAUAUGUAGCUUUCUACAUUUCAACCAUGAGGCUACACAAAGGAGUCAUCAAGUAGAUAGAUAAAUACAGGAAACAUUGCUUAUGGAGUGGGGCGGAUCUAAAUUCAAAGAAGCCGGCCAAAGCUGCUUGGCCUAUGGUCUAUGUACCAAAGAAGGAAGGAAGACUAGGAGUCAUAAAACUCUCAGUUCACAAUGAUGCUCUUCUACUCAAGUUCUUACACAAAUUUUUCAACAGGGCCGAUAUCCCUUGGGUUUACUUAUUAUGAGGAAAUUACUAUUCCAAUUGUAAACUGCCUGGAUAAUUCAAAAAGGGAUCCUUCUGGUGGAAAGACAUUAUCAAGCUCCUUGACUCCUUCAAAGGACUUGCUUCUGUUGUUAUUGCAGAUGGCUCCACUGUCUUCUUCUGGACUGACAUCUGGAAUAACAUUGUACCCUUAAUGGCAUUCCUAGAACUUUUCUCUUUUGCCAAGAACAAGUUCAUCUCAUACAAGACUAUUGCAAAUCGGCCAAACCUUAUUCGGAACUUUCACUUACCUCUCUCAAUUCAGGCGCAUCAACAAUUUCAUGAACUGGAGGAGAUAUUACUAAGUAAUUUGCCAUCGACUGAUAAAAAUCAGUGGCAAUACAUAUGGGGUAAUCAUAACUUCUCAGCAUCAAAGGCAUAUAAAGCUCUCAUUGGACACGGUUCAUCCAACCUUCCUAUGGAUAUGGAGAUCAAAAUGCCAAAUGAAGCAUAAGGUGUUCUUCUGGCUAUUUCUCAAGGAUUGACUCAGUAGAGACCUAUUAAGAAGGAAAAACAUGGCUCUAGAUUCGUAUGUGUGUGGACUCUGCAUCCUCCAAAGAUUGCAAACUGUUACCCACCUCUUCCCAAGGUGCAAUUUUAUCAUCUUGAUAUCGUGGUGCAUCUGGACGACUAGGAAUGAUUGGUUGUUCAACAAUGAAGAUCACUCGGUUGAUUCCUGUAGAAGGAAAUACGAAUUCUCUCUUGUUAUGCUAAGAGUAAGCCUAGUUCUGAACCUGCCAUGUCAGCUUGGAUCGAUAGUCUGUAAUUUUCCUUUGGCUAUUUCCCUUUUUUUUCAUGUUUACUUAAUUUUUAGUCUGUAACUUUAAAAGUAGUAGGGGCUUGCCCCUCCUGUUCCUUAAAAAAAAUCAAGAAUUAACUUAUGUCGCGAGUAAGGAGUAAUACUGAAAACCCUAAAACCAAUACACAUGGGUUCUUUUUUCCCCCUUUUUUGUGCGCUCACUUAUCAGAAUUUUGGUCAUACGGGUCCAGGGGCACGUCAGGGCGUCGAGGUCGUUAGCCUCGGAUGCAGCCGUGGUCCUAAAAGGGCAGAACAGAAAUGAGGGGGCUGGACCCAUGGAUCAGGUGGUCCGGAAUGCGUCGUUGCACGGGGGUACCCUCCUGUAACAAGAAUUUGCCGAUAGGCGAACGCCACCCGUACUUAACCUCCUGCAAAUGCUUGCAUUAUCCUCAAUAAGGAAUUAAGGAUCCCUUGCAGCACUGCCGAAAGCACAAGCUCACCUAAUCAAGCUUAUGUAGGUUUUGUCAGUUUGGCACCCAUGGAACACGCCGUCCGUACCCCAGCAGGAGCACAUGGCACCAACCAAAAUGAUUUCAACAACCGUUUCCACAUCUGAAAAUCCGGCCACGGGAGAGACCUCUGAAACUGGCAAGACUUUACGCAAAGCUUCCCGUCGAGGACGGCUCCGAAACUGUGAAAUGUUUCCGUCUGCGAGCUGGAUCUCGAGCGAUGGGGAGGAGGAACGUGCGCUCUGAAUAUUUUUUGCACCAGGCAGGUGACGCCCCGAUCGAUCGAACGGGGGCGGGUCGCCCUCGCCCUCUUUCUUUCUCUUCCGGAAAACGAGGCCCGCUCGAUGGGGUGGCGUAUGGCAAGCGAGCAGGCUGGAAGAUGCUCCCGUCUGCGUCGAGGCGGCGAUGGUCCCCGAGACCUUUGCGUUCUGUGCUGCACGGCCGGAGCGGUCCUCGUUUGUUGGUUCAGUCGGUUGCGGCUCCCUUUCUGCUGUGAGAAACUUUUAGUUUUUUCUUUCAACAAUUGUAUUGCCUGAGAGGGUAACAGACGGUUUGGUUUGUAAAAGUUUCAGGGAAGAGCAGGGGUGUGUUAGAUGUGCUAAGUCUAUCAACUUGCCGUAAAAUCGUGGUGGCGCUUCCAACCUGUCCGUGAGCGGUCGCCAUCGGUUUUGACAAAGCGGCAACCUGCUGACUGUGAUGAGAUGGAGAGGCGCUAGAAAUGAAGAGAAACCUCCUUCUAUACUGAGAGGAUAGCUGCAAGCUGCUAAUUGUCUCUCUGAAAUGUAUGAAUUAGAAAGCACCAUCACCUGCUAAAGAUUUGAAAACGCGGUUGCGUUUAUAUAUAUGAUUUAUACGAAAGAGCGCUCAUCACGUGCGUGUGCGCGAGAGGAUGAGGUUAAUUAUUUGAGCUGUGUUUGCUUUCCUGUGUAUGUGGGAGGAAUGCAUGAUAAGGAUUUCGUGAGUUCACUCUCAUGUUCCAAACAUAUAUUUUGUACAGAAAAAGAAAAUCAACGAUUAGGAAAUUUGAACUCUCCAAAACUUUUCAGCGAAUGUUGUGCAUAAAGGUGGCCCUUAGGGUGUAUUGUGUGCAAUAUUAACAUCGCAAGAUGGAUUGCGUCAUUUGUAUCAUGCGUUAAUCGACAUUGUAACACUAAUGGCAUACGGUUGCACAUUAUAGCUACGAUGAAACAUGGAGUGCAGGAUGAAACAGAUCAGCUCAAAUACAUUGUGCAUGAGUCGAUGACGAUACAAAAGUUGAAAAACUCAACUCCAAGACGCAGAGCUAUGCAGGGUCGACGGGUUUCAGUCGUGUCCACGAUAAUCAGAUAUUCAGACAGUGGCAAUACGGAUUAUCAGAUAUUCAGACAGAGGCAACACGGAUUGUUGGUUCAACGUCCUAAAUCAGACAGAGCUUAUCGGUCUGUGUGCUGUCCAUUUCCCUGUGGUACUAGUACUGCUACUGUACAACAUCACCAGAAAAAAAUACCUACUGGCAGCUGCCAGCGGCGAGCACGAGUCACCGAUGAGUAAACGAGGCAGCGAGCGAGUGAAAGCAUGACCAGACAAAAGCAGCAUCGGCGGCGGUGCUAAUCCGAAUAUUAGCAGUAAGUAUCACUCAACCUGCUGUUACUGUGAGAAAAGCGCGUGUCCUAUCGGAGUAGUAACAUCAGAUUAGGUGCCGAGUUACCAUCACGGCGCACGACGCCAUUGGUGUGGUCAUCCAUCGAUCCGUCCAUGCUUUAAUAAUGAUACGAACAGUUCUAGCUUAAGCUAGGGAUUUUUUUCAAGAGAUGUGACCUUCAGUCGUCAGAAGAUUGGUCUCUGACUCUCUGGUUAAGUCAUUCACCCCCCUUAUUCAGGCCUUUUCUUUUGCAACUAACGAAAGUGAAGUAACUUACGGGGCGUUUUCUUCUCGUGUCUUAUUUUUAGCACGUGUCACAUCGAAUGUUUAGAUACUAAUUAGGAGUAGUAAACGUAGACUAUUUACAAAACCAAUUACAUAAGUGGAAUCUAAACGGCGAGACGAAUCUAUUAAGCCUAAUUAAUCCAUCAUUAGCAAAUAUUUACUGUAGCAACACAUUGUCAAAUCAUGGACUAAUUAGGCUUAAUAGAUUCGUCUCGCCGUUUAGAUUCGUCUUAUGUAAUGGGUUUUGUAAAUAGUCUACGUUUAAUACUCCUAAUUAGUAUCUAAACAUUCGAUGUGACGGGUGCUAAAAUUUAGCAAGUGGAAGAAAACAGGUCCUUAGUCGCAUUUCGACUUCAAUGCUCAAGAAAAAAGAUUCGUAUCCAAAUUCAUAUAGAAUGCUUGAGAGCCCAUGGAAGCUUCCUUUCCCACCCGUGUUACCCUUUUGGAAUAUUUUCAAGUCUUGCAUUUGAGUAGAAUUCUAAGUGCCUGGAACAAUCCAAUCUCGUGUUCUGUAUAUAUGCAUUACGAAGUGAGGUUACAAAGAGAGUUUCUUUAUGUCUCUGAAAAGGUACCAGAGUUAAUUAUAACACAGAAUUGAUACAGUUUUUAUUAUUUUUCAUGGAAUGUAAAAAAAUCCCACCUACGAUAGCCACUGAAAUAUCCAAUUUGCAGUAAGGUUUCACCAAAAAAAAAAGGAAAAAGAAAAU
Molecule: long non-coding RNA, 68953 nt
Filed under: Setaria viridis
Lineage: Eukaryota; Viridiplantae; Streptophyta; Magnoliopsida; Poales; Poaceae
Description: long non-coding RNA (SVIR_LNC005940)
Source: RNAcentral